UAAUAUAAACAUGUGCUCAAAUGAGCAAAUGAAUAAUAUGUACAAGAAUAGUAAAUUGCAUAAAUGUAAAGAGCAAAAAGUAAAUGUUAAUGGUUAAUGGUUAGUGUUAGUGGUUAGUGUGCCAUAAGGCAAAUUUAGGGCUAUGUUAAGCAAUCGUAAUUGGACUUAUGUAGAAGUCACAACUAUCUGAGGCCGGUCAAUAAUAAUGUAGGCAACAACACAAGUUAUAGAUAUUGAUUAGUGAAUCAAACUCCAACAACUUGCCAUGCCAAAAAGAAGAUGAGAAAUGAUCUUGUAUUGGUUUAGGUCCUUUGCAUGAUUUAGAAAGCAAUCUAUCCUUAAUGCAAAGCCAUUCACUUGAUCAUUUGAUCAAGAUGAAUUAGAUUUGAAUCAAGGAAGAUUAAACCUCCCUAAUCAAUGAUAACCAUCAACCUUUAACUCAUUGAUCAAAAAGAAUAGAAGGAGAAGAAGAAGAAGAUGAAGAAUAGAAAUGAAGAAUUUAAGUGCAUUUAAUAAAAUGGAAUGUACCAAUCAACAAAUGUUAACCAAAGAUAGGGAAGAUCAAGGUCAAACAAUAGAAAACAGAAGCAAGAUGAAGAUUGGAAGUCAAGAAAUGAACAAAGUAUUUUUGGCAUUUUUAAUAUUUAAAAUAAAACUUGAAUUAAAAUAUUAAAGGAAGGUCAAACUUCAAACUCACUUCAAAUCAACUUUGAAAAGUCCAAGUGAAUUAUCCCAAGUUCAACAAGGUCAAACAAAAUUUGACAAAAAAUUUCAGCAUUUUUAGAAGUCAGAAACUAUUUAAAAUCAAUUAAAAAUGCAUAAAAAUAACCUAAUUGAAUUAAAAUCUCAAAUAAAUCUCAAAUCAAUUAAUAAAUUUAUGAGAAUAUUUUUCAUAGAUUUAUCAUCAUUCAAAGAGGUUGAGAAAAUAUUUUUGUAUUUUUUGAAUAUCAAAAACUAUUUAAAAUGAACUAAAAAUAACCAGAAAAGAGAAAACUAUUAAAAAAUAGCAAAUGAUAGAAUAAAAAGUAUUAAAAAUCAUUUUUAGAAUUUAGAAAUUAAAAGAGAAAUAAUGCAAUUGGUCCCAUAAUUUUUGGACCAAUAAUGAAAGAGAUAUGGAUUUUAGAAAAUGAAAUGGAAUUAAAAAAUAAAAUAGAAAUUAAAAUCAGAAUUAAAAAAAAAAGGGAAAUAGGAGCCUGGAUUUGAGGCUUCAUUAUUGAGCUGGCAGAUCCAAAGCAUCGCCACAAGCGCGCGCGCCCAACGUGUUCCAAAGUCAAUGCAGACCAUCAGGACUUAAAGAAAGUUUAUAACAAUGUUGUGGGAGGAGAUAGAUCUGGGAAACUUUGAAGAUGGACAACUCAUAUCCCGAAUCUGGAGACUAGGACGGUGGUCAGCGGCGCCACCGUCUUCUCCGGUUAGGCUUCCACGAAGGCCAAAAAUGGCAGAGAUUCAAAUUGUGCAUCAAAAACGCACGAUCUAGGUACCGUUCUGAAGGUGGAUGAUGUUACAUCACUCCUAUGCCACUCAAUUCCACUCUAGAUCCCUAUUAAGAGAGAAAUCAGAGAUGGAACUUUGGUGGUGUUCAACUAAACUUGCUUGAUUUCAACAAUUAAGAACGCAAUGAUGAUGCCUCUAUGUAGAGGACUUCAGACAACACAAAAUCAAGGCAAAUUGAGCAAUGUAUGAGGAGAUUCGAAGCAAAAUGCAGUUGAGCAAAAUCUUUGGAUUGUGAAGAAUUGAGUCACGAUCUUUGAUUCCUUUUGCAAACAGAAGCUUCAAUGGAUCAAAUGAAGAAGGUUUAGGAACUAUGGGUCUAAAAAUUCAAUCGAUGCAAUUGAAUUUCAGAUCUGAAAUUUUUGAAAAGAAAGUGAAAAGUUCCUUUGGUGAGGGUUGGGUUUUGAGUUCAGUAGGGUUUUAGGCGCCUUUAGGUUGAAGAAUUGUGAAGCUAUGGCAUGGUAUUUAUAGAUGGAGAUGGCUGAAUGCAUGAGCUUUGAGCACACGUACCCUCUUCUCCCGGAGGUACGUACCCGGACAUGUGGCGCAUGGAGGGCCCAAUUCUGAUUGGAAUUGAUUGCUAUACAUCACCAAAUGAGAAAUGGACGUGCAGAUUGAAUUUUAAUGGUUCAUGCAAUGUGUUUGAAAUGAAUUUCCAAAAAUGCACCAAAUUCUUCAUGUCUUCGAAAAUGAUGCUUCCAAACUCCAAAUGCAACCUUAUGAGUAAUGGUUAGAAAGCUUUGUUGAUCAAAAUUUCAUUUGAGCCUUGGAAAAUAAUGAAAUUUGAGUUUGAAGUGUAGGGUACAAAACAUGCAUAUGUGAAGUUUCCAAAAUUGGCCAAUGUUCAAGCCCUUCUGUCUCAAUGAUGCAAGCUCCAAAUGAUAAAAUCUUCAACACAAAAGUUGUAGAUCCUUUCAAGACAAUAAAUUUGGACUUAAAUGUUUCAUCAUUUGGAUUUUUGAUGAAGAAGUUAGGGGCACUUGAUGUUCGACUUUUUCACAUUUCAAUGCAUUUGGUCCAAAGUGACCUAUAAUGUUUUGCAUUAUCACAUGUAUUUCUUUUGAGAUUUUGCAGUUUUUCUAGACAUAAAAUUUGAAUUAGACACAUUAAUAUUUCCAAUGCAUUAAGUCUCACCUCAAAAUCAUGAAAAAUGAAUAAGUUAUGUUCUUGGGAAGUUGACCCAAAAUUAGGGUUUCAGUCAAAAUGACCUAUAAUGUCUUAGAAUGGAGGAUGACCUUCCAAGCUUUAAAUACAAUUUUGAUGAACAUGAAAGUUGUUCAUAUUAUCCUUAAGAACAUUUUUUCUCUUGGUGUCAUCUCCAUUUGACCAACACAUAAAAAGUUAGGUUUCAGUGUAUUUCAAAAUAGUCAGAUGAAUUGACUGAUCAACUUCUCAAGUCCACACCUUAUAUCUAGAUGAAUGGAUGAUUGAGGGCACUCAAAUAAGUUCAAAUAUGCAUGAAAUGAUGAAUUAAAGAACUUCCCUUAAUUGUAUUUGACCAUGGGCUAAGGUUGCUUCAUGAGCAAGGCACAGUUGAUAGACAAAUGAGCUAGGGUUUCCUUGGGAAACAAACCUCAAACCCCUUGAUUUGCUUUGAUCAAAAUGAUGAAUUGAGAUACUUGGGAGACAUAUUUGAUGCAUGGGAGAUUUGGGAACCAUUACCAUGCUUGCUUUCAUCUUCUCUUGACCAUACCAUUGCACAAAGGAUCUCCUAGAAGCUUUAGACCUUGUGACUGCUCAAACUAUAAACAAAAGAUGUUAGUGACAUAUUUUUGUGCUUUUGAGUUAGGAAAUGGGAAAAUCAAUAAUAUACAAUUCCAGCAUGCUUGGUGAUCUCAAAUCACUCACCAGAGGUCCCAAUCUAAAGGCAAAGGGAAUCAAGAUGCUUAUGAUCCUUGAGGCUAUGCAAAUGCAAUGUAAUGAUGCCAUGAGGGAUCUUAGGGUCAAAAUUGGGGUCUUACACGUGGUACCUUACCAUGUUUUGUAUUCUACUUAAGUACACCGUAUCUUACGAUGUUCUACAAUUCACUUAAGGGAACCGUACAUUAUGGUAUUCCUUAGUUACUCUAUCUCUCAUCAAUCCGUCCUUUUAUGUGUGACCUUGUAGGUUUUCGUGGCAUUGGCAAUUAUAUUAAAUCACGUAUUUAACAUAAUAAAUAGUGAGUGGUAUCUAGCAAUACAUCAUUGCUACCCAAGACACGAAAAUGUCAUGUGAUCAGACAAAUCCUUUUGUGAUAAUACUUAUGUGUACAAUUAUCCUUUUGCCCUUAUGUCUAUAUUGAACACAAGGCAUAGACCGUGUCAUCCUUGUCCAGUUCAAUAUUUGGCCCAUAGAUAUUUAUCCUGUUAUGCAGGAUGGGCAAAUUCUAUCUAGGUGACUCAUGUCCCUUAGCAUGCUUCGUGGAGUACCCAUCAACUAUUUUUAUGGUCAUCCAGUUACAGACAAUGUUUGAUCAGCAAUAAGGCACUCGACUCUACAUCUAGGGUCCAUAGUGGUUUCAGGUCGAAGGAUGGUAUACACCAUUAUCACCAUGAGAAUAACUUAUGACACUUUGUAUAACAUUCUAUGUAGUAUUCUCAUAGCAGGUCAAUCCAGUAUAAAUAUUACUCUUAAUAUUCAUACCUAUGUUUAAGAAUUGAUAACUCCUUAUCCAUGAUCCAAGAGAUGUGAUCAUCAGUCUAUAUACAUAAUAGUCUUAAUGCUUUAAUGUUAUCCCACUUCACAAUAAAGUUCGACUACAGAUACUUUAAGAAUAGUGUCCUUAUGUGUAAUGUGAUCUCAUGAUUAAGUCACACUUGAUACAUUAAACGGACUAGCUAUUCUAGGGACUUUAUUAAACAAACAUAAUAAAGAAAAAUCCUUGUAUUAUUAAUAAAUAAUUCUAUACAAUUACCAAAAGUAUUGGCCUUUAGGGUUUACACCAACAUGUACUCCUCUACAGAUAUUAGAAUUGAAUCAUCAAUGUGCCAAUAAUUCGGUGUUGGGCCUCUAUAAUUGGAUAAUGGAAUUGAUUCCUAAUAUUAGUCGGGGUCUUGGGAUUGGAAUGUGCCAAUAAUUCGGUGUUGGGCCUCUAUAAUUGGAUAAUGGAAUUGAUUCCUAAUAUUAGUCGGGGUCUUGGGAUUGGAUGUCGUGUCUUAAAAAAUAAAAUAUCUUAAAUAAGCACUUAAACGCAUUUUUAGUAAUAUAUGUUUUCAAAUUCAAUAGUGUACAUGAAAACAUAUUUUUUAGCUGGUUAGAGCAUUGUGCUAAUAAUGUGAAGGUUGCAGUAUUUUAGUUAUUUUUUUAUUUGUUUCUAUAUGUUAUGUUUUGCAACCUUUUAUCCUAUUUUUUUAUUUAGUCAUUUACAAUCAUAUAUCCAUACAUACCUACAAACUUAACUCGUUUAACGAGACUAUAUGUUUUGAUAUAUUAUGUUUUGCAACUUUUUAUCCAUUUUUUAUAUUUAUUUGUUCCCUUGCAAACAUAUUUUUAUUUGUUUUUAUAUAUUAUGUUUUGCAAUCUUUUGUCCAAAUUUAUUUAUUUAUUCAGUCCCAUACAAUCAUAUGCCCAUACACAACUAUCAAUUUAACGAGACUAUAUGGAUGGGAGCUCUGGGAACCAUUACCAUGCUUGCUUUCAUCUUCUCUUGACCAUAACAUUGCACAAAGGAUCUCCUAGAAGCUUUAGACCUUGUGUCUGCUCAAACUAUAAACAAAAGAUGUUAGUGACAUAUUUUUGUGCUUUUGAGUUAGGAAAUGGGAAAAGCAAUAAUAUACAAUUCCAGCAUGCUUGGUGAUCUCAAAUCACUCACCAGAGGUCCCAAUCUAAAGGCAAAGGGAACCAAGAUGCUUAUGAUCCUUGAGGCUAUGCAAAUGCAAUGUAAUGAUGCCAUGAGGGAUCUUAGGGGAAAAAUUGGGGUCUUACAGAUGCCCCUAUUUAAGGUCAUUCUAGCCGGAGAGGUGAAGGUUAAAAUCUUCGUCUCGACGAGGUAGAAUGGGCUUAAAUAAUAACAAAGAGACAAAUUUUGGUCCCUAAAAGAUGCCCCUAUUUAAGGUCAUUCUAGCCGGAGAGGUGAAGGUUAAAAUCUUCGUCUCGACGAGGUAGAAUGGGCUUAAAUAAUAACAAAGAGACAAAUUUUGGUCCCUAAGAGACCUCAUGAUGCAAAUGUAUGUAUGCAAAAGGUAAUGCUCAGCGGGGAUAUGUGUCCACAAAGAAGAAAAGGAAAUUCGGAGAAACUGACAAUCCAUAUGAGUAGUUCACUCCAUGGGACAGAGACUCUGGGACUCUAAUGGGGAUAGAACAGGAGAUAAACUGUGUGAACAGGUCACGACUUAGAACUUGCUGAGACACGAGAGGGAUUCCAUGAAAAUAAAUCAAUGGAAGGACUCGAGCUGACUCAGAGAUGCAUGUAUUGGGCAAUAUGCCAAUACAUCGGAACUAUCCAUAAAGGAUACUUCGGAUGAAAAUCCGGACUCAGAUGGAGAAAAAGUCCACUAAGGGAAAGUCCAAACAGGACUCCUCUGGGGAAACGCCAGGAUGAGGUAUUACCGGUUACUGGGUAAUAAGCUCAAGGAGACAUGUGAUCUGAACACCGGUAUAAGGGUGAGAGAACAACAUGCUCAGGGAGAAUGAAUAUCUAAGACCGGUAUAAGGGUGAGAGAUAUUAAAAAUUCGAAAUCAUCUGAGGAAAACCUAACGAGGUAUAUUUCAACUCAGGAAAAUCUGACUCCACAGAGGACGAAAAGUCAUAAUAGGGAGCAAAUGGGAAGGAACACCAGGGAUACCGGUUACUGGGCAUAUAAUAGGUGACCAACCAGGGCGUGAAUUGGGGAAUAUUUCCAAGACACUCAUCAUCCAAAAGAGGGCUAAAAAGCAGACUCGAUUAUAGGAUGGGCAUUCGAUUCCAUAAAAGGAAUACGAACCUUACUCAACUGGGGAAGAACAAAAGACUUCAACCAAAUAGUGCAUGAGAUAUAUUAUCUAUUACUGUCAGAAUGUAGAUAACAUACUCGCAUGGAAGAUUAUCCACAACCGGUUACUGGGUUAAUAAAGGAUAAAUCGACCGACAGAAAAGGAGCAUCGGGAUACCAAAUACUAGGUAUAAAAUGAUGACCAAAUCAAAAGAGAGAAAAGAUCAUUACCGACAAAAGGCAAAUGAAAGAUGACCCGCUGGGGAUGCGCUGACAAAGGUGGCGAUCCGGGAGACAUAUCACCCAUUACUGGGAGAUAUACUCAGAAGGUGAAGGAAUAUCAAUACCGAAUAUUGGAUAAAGAUAACCAUCAAAGAGGGGAUUACAUCUACCGGAUAUGGGGUAGAAAACCACGGAAGAGUAACCGUCAUCGGUCAGGAUGAAUAAAAUGUUAACUCUGCAAGGGGAUAAAAUAGGGUUUACAACUACUGGUAUAAGGGUAGAAAACCACAGACUCUGCCGGGGAAAAUAUGGAUAACUGCAUGGUUACUAAACAAUCAUUCAUCUAGACUACAGGGAAGUGCAAAGGAAACACGCAAAAAGCCAUUCUAGAAACAAACUAGAGAGGCACGACGAAACAAGACUCAUUCCUAUGAGGAUAUAACUAAGGGGAAACUCCAUCCCAAUAUAUGCGUUGGGAGGAACAGGAAUAACAAUCAUCCACGAGGAUAUAACUCAAUGGGGAAUAUGGAAGAAAGGAUAAACACUUUCUGCUUAUGGGGCUGACUCUACAUGGGGAGAUCAGACACAAACAUCUGCUUGGGGAAUCAUAUUACCAACUAGCAGGAGAUAACAAACAAAGAUAUAUGGCAAAGAAUGCAACAUGAAUAUCUGAAUGUUAAAAUUAGGCAUAUAUGCGUGGGUUAUGUAUGAUGAAUGCUAACAAACAUACAUAUCUAACACAAACAGGUCUAAAGAUCGAUGAAUAUAUCCGGUACUACAUCUCAAAAGAGGAAGCCAGGCCCACUGGAGAGCAUCCAAUCUGAUAGGGGCAAGAGAUACCAGGAAACAAAGAUCUUUGCAGGAGAAUGAGCAUCAGUCAUUCCAACCGGGGACAAGAUCAUUGCACAGAUAAGAUCCGCUGUAGAAGCAACUCUACUGGGGAAGUUAUCAGGGGAGGGGAUGGAUAUCUUUACCAUCCACUCUUCUCGGGAGAAAAAAACCACAAAAGUCUCUAGAGGAAGAGGAUAUAAGCAUGCCAGGAAUAUGAACAAAUAUCUCACCCUGUUGGGAAUCAUACCAUCUUUGGGAGAGCACUGAAGACAUCCCAAGAAUGUUCACUUUGUUUAAAAACAAGUUAUGAAAAUUUAUUUGUUUAAAACAAUGAUAUUUCUCAAUUAAAACAUGCAAAACAUUUGUUGAAUAAGAAAACAAAUAAGAGUGUAAAUAAUUGGAUGAAGGCUCAAAUUUAUUUGAUGGAAUGGUAGCCUGCAAAUGGAAAGACUCCAUAGAUCUUUACAAAUUUGAAAUUGGUGAUAUAUAUUGGAAAAGGGCUACAUUGAACAUAAUAGCCAUUUCUCCACCAACUCUGAAUCUGAUGUAUUUGAAGCUUCAGUUGACCAUGACUGAGCGAGAAUUUCUGACAGAUGACAGUUUUGUAGAGCAAAGUCUUGUCAGGAUAUAGUUACUUGCCAAAUCCCUAAUUUUUACCUAGAUUUCCCCAGGGUGAGGUACUCAAUCUAGCGGGAUACAUAUUUAUUUUUUAUGUCUCUAACUUUUUCCUGGAUCGCCCUUUCGGGUUUUCAAUCCACCGAGACGCUCAUUUUUGCCUAAGUCGCCCUUUCGGGUUUUGAACUUUGCGAGCUAUUCUGUUUUUAUUUUAUUUUAGGCGAAGAAUUUCUUAACUGCAUCUGAAUUCACAGGACGAGUGAAAUCGUCCCAAUCCAUAGUUGUAAGUAUCAAAGCACCGCCUGAAAAGGCUCUCUUAACAACGUAUGGACCUUCAUAGUUUGGAGUCCACAUGCCCCUGGAAUCGGGCGCGAAAGACAAGACUUUCUUGAGCACAAGGUCACCUUCUCGGAACACACGAGGUUUGACCUUCUUAUCAAAGGCUUUCUUCAUCCUUUGCUGAUAUAACUGACCGUGGGACAUGGCAGUUAAUCUCUUUUCUUCUAUCAAAUUCAGCUGGUCAUAACGACUCUGAACCCAUUCAGCAUCAGUCAACUUGGCUUCCAUCAAGACUCUCAUUGAUGAGAUCUCCACCUCUACUAGGAGCACAUCCUCCAUACCGUAAACAAGAGAUAAAUGGGUUGCCCCUGUUGAAGUGCAGACAGAUGUACGAUAUCCAUGCAAAGCAAAUGGCAGCAUCUCAUGCCAAUCCUUAUACGUAACAACCAUCUUUUGGAUAAUCUUCUUGAUAUUCUUAUUAGCAGCUUCAACAACCCCAUUCAUCUUGGGUCUAUAAGGAGAAGAAUUAUGAUGUGCUAUCUUGAACUCGCUACACAGCUCUUUCAUCAUUUUGUUGUUAGAGUUAGAUCCAUUAUCAGUAAUGAUCUUAUCCGGUACACCAUAACGACAUAUGAGUUGAUUCUUGAUAAACUUCACAACCACUUGCCUGGUCACAUUUUGAUAUGAUGCCGCUUCAACCCAUUUGGUGAAGUAAUCAAUUGCUACGAGAAUAAACCUGUGUCCGUUGGACGCUUUUGGCUCUAUCAUGCCAAUCAUGUCAAUUCCCCACAUAGAGAAAGGCCAUGGUGAUGAAAUCACAUUCAUGAGUGUCGGAGGAAUAUGAAUCUUAUCCGCAUAAAUCUGACACUUAUGGUGUUUCUUCACAUAUUUACAGCAAUCAGACUCCAUUGUCAGCCAAUAGUAGCCUGCUCUCAACAUCUUUCUAGCCAUGGCAUGUCCAUUGGAAUGAGUACCAAAUGAACCCUCAUGGACCUCAGUCAUUAACAGGUUUGCUUCGUACUGCUCUCAACAUCUUUCUAGCCAUGGCAUGUCCAUUGGAAUGAGUACCAAAUGAACCCUCAUGGACCUCAGUCAUUAACAGGUUUGCUUCGUGUCUAUCCACGCAUCUGAGCAAAACCAUGUCAAAGUUCCUUUUAUAAAGCACAUCACCAUUGAGGUAGAAACUGCCUGAAAAUCUCCUCAAAGUCUUUCUAUCUUUCACAGAUGCCCCAGGCGGGUAAAUCUGACUCUAAAGAAAACAUUUGAUAUCAUAAUACCAAGGCUUGUUAUCUUCUACCUCCUCUACUGCAAAUACAUGAGUUGGUCUGUCCAAGCGCAUUACAGUGAUGUUGGGAACUUCAUUCCAAAGUCUAACCACAAUCAUCGAAGCAAGUGUAGCAAGAGCAUCUGCCAUCCGAUUCUCAUCUCAAGGAAUAUGAUGGAAAUCAACCCCAGUAAAAACGUUGAAAUCCUCCUCGCAUAGUGUCAUACCCCAAAAUUCACCCUACACAUUCACAAUGUUCAUCUAGGUCACUAACUUAAACAUUUGCAUAUCAUCAUGAGCAUGCAUUUCAUCUACAUAAGCAAGGUUCAACACAAGAGAGCAAUGACUUGAAUUUAGAGCUUUAUGCUUACACCUAGUGGAAACUAGGAUUUCUUAGCAAACUUGGGGUGGCCCCAAUCAAACCCUAGCAUGGAGAUGCUUGUAUCUGGUGUCAAUGGUGGCUUCUUGAGGGAGCAAAACCCUAAUUUAGUGGUCCUCACAUGGUCAUGGCUCCAUAAGCCCUAAUCAUGUUCAAUACCCAUUGUGUGGCCUCCUAACCCUAAUUUCAGCUGGCACAUCAUCAUUCAUGAUGCUUGAUCUCCUUGCUUGGUUAAAUGGCAUUCAGUAGCUUCUUGCUCCUGGUUCAUUCAUGUUGAGUUCUUGGUUGUGUUUCUAUUCACCAUGCUCAUGACCAUUGAUCCUAGUUUUUGGUCUAUAUAGGUUGUGGUUCAUGUCACAUCUUGAUCCUUUCUAAAUCUUGUUUCAUGAUUGUCAUUGAGCAGUUCAUUCAAUGUCAUAAUGUCCAUUUCACUCUGUUCCAAUACAUGUUCAAGAUUCAUUUAUUCAUAUAAAAACUUCAGAUUCAUUCAUUUCAAGAGCCAUUUAGUUCAAAUACCAAUCCAAGUUCAUUCAAAUGAGGAAAUGUCAUUCAUUACAUGAUCAUAAAAGGUUCAUUACAUGAAAAAUGCAAAGAGAGGUAUGUUAACCAACAGUUAACUUUUUGACAAACAGUUGACUUUUUGACCAACAGUUGACUUUUUGGUCAACUUUGACCAAAGUCAACUCAAACCCUUAAGUAAUGACCUAUGCACAUUCAAGCCUUGUCAUUCACUCAAGUUUUGAUUCCAUGAGGUUAUGUGAUUCAUCUGUGAAGAGUUCAUUGGCCCUGUCAUGUAGGGCAUUCCAUGUCAUGUUUUAAUUAAUCCAAUACAAAGUCAAGUCUUGAUUCAUGAUCAUUACAAGUGUCCAUUCAUAUUCAAGAAUUAAUUUCACGUGUCAAGGUCAAGUCAAAAUCUAACAUUCAUUCACAAUCAUUUACAAUUCAUUACAAAUGUCCAAGCAUUGAGAAAAUUACAAAAAAGUGGAAGUUUGACCAUAUGUUGACUUUGGUUAACAAUUGACUUUUUGGUCAAAGUUGACCAAAGUCAACCCAAUCACCUCCUCUUCAAAACCAAUUCCUAAUAAAAAGUCUAACCCUAAACACCGGUGGCAUGGUUGACAAUCGUGUUCCAACAAAUGUUGUUCGAACGUUCUCAUCUGAUAAAUCAAACCACAUGGCAGUAACUUCUUCAGUUUCGAUGGUGUCUAUUCCUCCCCAUCUUUCUCCAGGAUCUUUUGCAGCAUUGCAAUAUCAGUCAACCAGAAAUGAAGUCAGACCGCCCAUUGUUUCUGGUGUAAUGCCUAGCAGUCACAUGGGGAGAAAUCCAUCUUCUGUAGGAUUGCCUAGAGUUGAGAACCCACAGUUUAAAGUUACUGGAGGACUGAGUGGGGCCCCUUAUGUGCUUCAGGUCCAAUCUGGUGUAAUGCCUAGCAGUCACAUGGGGAGAAAUCCAUCUUCUGUAGGAUUGCCUAGAGUUGAGAACCCACAGUUUAAAGUUACUGGAGGACUGAGUGGGGCCCCUUAUGUGCUUCAGGUCCAAGAAAAUUCAUUGGCAAACCAAUCAUUAGUGAAUGCUCCUACAUGGUCAAUACAGACUCAACCUGUGUCAUUAGCUAGAAGUGUAUCAGAAAACAAGGCGCCUGCUCAUAAUCCUCCCAAGGUGGAAGGAACUACUGAUGUAACUGUAUCGAGGGCAGGUCCACAAGUAGCAACAGGUCAGAGCAUUAGACCAUUUAUUACUCAAACGGGACCUGGAACUAUGUCUAGUAUACACCAGCCAUUGCAGGGUGGGAACAUGGUUCAACCUCCUUUGGUUCCUAGUCACUCUGAUAUUGCAAAGAUUGUCCAGAAGUUAUUACUACCAAAGCUUCCUGAACAUCGCACAUGGAUUCCUCCGUCAAGGGAUUAUAUGAAUAAGGCUUUCACAUGUGAGCUCACUGUCAGUGAGGUUGAUUCUGUUCUUCUCUGUGAUGCUUAUGAAAAUGGAUUUCACUUAAAGUGCCUGCAGCCAUCAGUAAUUAGAGGAAUUCAUAAUAGAGUUGAUUGGCACUGCACGAGAUGCUUGAGUUUAAGCGGCGGAAAGUCUUUGCCUCCAAAAUAUGGCAGUGUGACGAGAUCUUCAAUUACAUCACCAAGUUUUUCCUCUAAUACAGUUGGAUUCAACCAUAUUCAGAGAAGAAAGCAAAUAGCUUAGAUCUAAAGGCCAGCCCACAAUUUUUUACAACAAAUGGAAACUCUAUCCCAACUGUUUCCAGUGCCAACCACAGUACUGAGUCGUCAUUUGACUCAAAUACCCCACACACAAGAGAUAUACAAGGUUCCAUCAUUUCAUCUAGCAUUGAAACCAUUGAAGAGAAGCCUGAUCCAAGCAUAUUUAUGAAAUCUGCAGCUUGUAGUGUUUCCACUGGCUUGCAGGGUGAAAGUUGUGCUGAAUAGAUAGAUUCAAAGGCUUUGACCUGUAAAGACACUUCUGAAUCAGAAACUCUUCCUAUAUUUUCCGAGCCGGCUAAAUGUGAAAAUUUGCAAUCAUCACAAGAUUCUCAUGUUGAGAUGGCAGUGUCAGAGGACAAUGCUGAAAUAUCACCAGAUAGACAUGAUAGCAGUAGUUUUAUGAUUAGUAAUCAAAAGGAAUCUCAUGGAGGAGAAAAUAUAACUCACGAUAUCAAGAGCGAUGAUCUAGAUGUUGCACAACCAAUUUCUGUUGGAAGUUCUGGAACUAAUACUGAAGGUAUUCAGCACUCUGCUAUAUCUUCAGAUAGCUCACAUGCUAUUGAAUGGAUUGGUGAUGUUGUACAACUCGUAGAUGAGAAAAAGUAUUACCAAUCUUGCUGCAUUGAUGGAGUAACAUAUAGGCUGCAUGGUCAUGCUUUUUUGACAUUCAACCAUGGCAAACUGACACCUUCUAAACUUCAGUCCAUGUGGGAAGAUUCCAAAACUGGGAUGAAGUGGGUAAAGGCAACAAAGUGCUACUUUCCCGAUGAUUUGUCGGGAGAUAUUGGUCAUCCUUGUAUAUCUGAACUCAAUGAGGUUUAUGAAUCUAAUAGUGAUAGGAUUGAAAUGGCAAGCUCAUUCCAUCCUAGACCUGCAUAUCUAUAAGAUCAUUCAGCAUCAAUAGUGCGCAACAAGGUUAGGAGCAUCGUGUGGUAGCAAGCAAAACAAAGGGUAAAAUGUCUAACGCAUACAUAACCACACAUACCAAAUCAAUGCAUAGUGACCAGAGUUGGAACAUUUAACUUGAGCUAAGUCAUAUAGACCAAGAACCCCACUGCAACUGCAGAGCUACCUGUAAAAGAGGACCAAGGUGAUUCUAAUGGCUACACCAGAAAAAUCCAUAACAGUCGGCAAUGCAAGGCAAGAAAUGGAAUUUGAGUCAUAAUCAUGGUAACUACCCUGUUGCAGAACCAAAGCCAAGAAAACCUGUAGAAACAUGGCAAGUUAUCUGAGCAUAACAACACAGACCUACAAUCCAAAGAACAGUUCAAUUCAAAUCAAUGAGUUUCAAAACAAUAAGCAGUUCAGGAAGUUAAGGGAUCCAAACCAGUUUGGUUCUUACGUUUAUAGGUGUCAACCCUGAAGUCACUUAUUCAGUUCCUCUGAAGCGUGCCAUUCAAUUUUCUAAAUCCCACGUGACUUAAUUCAUGAUGUAAAAACUCACCUUCUCAUUCACUUAAAAUGCCAGAUGGAUGAUUCAGAUUUAACCAUUCAGACUUAAUUCUCCAAUUUGCCCUUGGAUCAAGCUUAUAUAAGAGGCAAUCAUUGCCAAUCAUUGGGGUUCAGACUUUUUUCCCUCAUUCCAAAGGAAUCGUGCAAUCGAUUCCCUCCCACCUUCAGUACACGCUUUUUUUUUCUUUCUCCAUUAUUGUGAGAGCUUCAUCACUCGAAGCUCUACACGGCAGAGCUAAGCCACCUCCACCGCCGGAAGCUUCGAAGCUCGAAGAACGUUAUCGCUCACACGCUUCCAAUUCGCUCCAACAUUGCGAGAAGAGGAAGAGAGGCGCUCAAAAGUUGUGCUCGUGUUCGUCAUUGUAACACCCCAAUUCUACCCGUCGUAAAUUCGAUUAAAAAUCAGAGUAAACAAAUUUCACAUAAAAUUGAGGCAUCACAUAUAUCCUUUCAUCAAGACUUAAACAAUUUACACAACACGGCAAUUGCACAAGGAUCCACUUAGUCCUUGUUAAAUAGUAAACAACACUGUAUAUGGAUUCACCUAGUCCAUAUAGCAGCAAUACACAAAACAUCGCAACGGAAAUCAUUUAGAUAAUUAAGUUGAGUCGUACAUUUACACAUUCAAAAGAAAACAAGCAAACAAAUGCCAAUCACAACUAUCAAAUACAAUGAUAUACAAAAUAGGCAUUUUUACUAUCAAAAUCAGGAAAAGCAUUCAUUAACCCCUGAGUUUACAAUCCUAAUCAGAGCAAUGACGCCAAAAGUGUGCUAACACUAUCCUCCUCCUCAAUGCGGCACCUGCACGCUUACCAAUAUAUAAAGGUAACGCGCCAACAACAAAAGCGUGAGAUACUCAAAUCCUAUUAAUCAGAUAAUGAUAAGCAAUAUAUAAGUAAAUUCGGAAAGUUAAAAAAUGUUACCACAUCACUAAUCUUCACUUGAAUGCUUAUGUAUUUAUCAUUAACAAGUCAUAAUCAUCCACAAUAUCAAUUACAUCAUAGCAUCUCAUCACUUUAACAUUUCAUCAAUCCAUCAAAAACAUUACGAUUCAUCGCAUCAUCGCAAAAAAUAUCACCGCACAUCAAUAAACCGUCACAUAACAACACAUUAUCACAAAUGCGGAAAUAAACAUAACCAACAUAUGUGACUCAACUAUGCAAAUGCUAUGCGUACCGACUCGUCGCUUUGCAUCAAGGCCAAGGCUUUAUGCCCCACUUCGCUUUUGCCAAAGCCACGUCGCUAUUGCCAAAAAGCCACUGCGUCGCUUAUGCAAUGAUGUGACUCCAUAUAAAUGAUACACAUACACCAAAAUCAUCAUCGCAUCAACAUAACUCAUCACAAUGGCGCAAGCCACGUCGCUAUUGCCUCUAGGCCACGUCGCCAUUCAAUGCAUAAAAGCAUUCAUACAACAUCAUCCUUCACCAACAUUCAUACGUAAUGUAUUAUAUAUAAAAUAAAUGAGAAUAUUCAUCACAAUCAAUUGUUUCAUCUACAAUCUCUUAGAUAUUCACCUUCAUGCUAUGUUUAUUACAUCCCACCCUACACACUAUAGUUAAGUGUAUUCCUCAUUAAACAAAUAGGCUUCCUACUAUAUCAAUUAUAAUCAUUUUCCCAAAAUAAUCACUUAUUAAAAUAAUCCCUUAUAAUGCCUAUAAACAUCAACAACAUGUAAAAUUUCAUAAGCUUCGCAACGCUUCGAACGGGGACCAAAACGGAGUUACGGUUCAAAGUUAAUGACUUUGAAGUUUACAAAAGAAUUCUGUUUUCACUCAGUUGGCCGCGCGAAUUAUAGCAGGAAACAAGAAAAUGCGUUUUGACCGUUAAAUACCUUCCGCCUCCGAUUCGAUUCCGUAAAAAGUCUCAUUCUCAAGAAUUUCAAACGAACUACAAUAUUUUCAAUAUUACACACAGCCUUAUACCACCCAAUUUAACUUUUAUUUCAUCAUUCUAAAUCAUUCAAUUAUUUUCAACACUUCUAAAUCACAAUUGUGAAUUACUCAUACUUUGAUUCACAUCAACACCAAUAGCAUAUUUUUCACAAACUACUGAACCCCAAACCAUCAACAACAACACAACACACAAUGUAUUUAUCAUCUUCUAACCCUAACCUAACAUUUGGCAAAGAAUUGAUACAUGUUCAAUAAUCACACAACAAUCAACACUACAUCAAAGAACACAAACAACAUUUCAAGCAAGGAAUCUAAUCACAACAAUCAAAACCCAACAGUAUCCUCUAACAACCAUUACCCACAUAAAACCAUCAUUUUCAUAAUUAUAGAAAUAUAACUCACACCCUUACCUUAGAGAUGAUGAUGAGUACUCUAUAGUUUUCUAGCAAGCUUGGUUGAUCAAGAUGAAUGCUCUUCUUCCUCCAAUUUCCUCUUCCUCCUCCAAACCCUACUUUUCUCUCUUUUCUUCUCUUUCUCCUCCUUCUUCUCACUUCUUUCUAUUUCUUCUCUUCUUCUCUAUUCUAUUCUUUCUUUGUAGUAAUUAAAUAAAAAUCUAACUAAUGGGCCUUAAUUGUUACACUCCCUAUACUUACUAACUACACACUAGGCCCAAUAGCUAUAUACUACCACAAUUCUCAUAAUUAAACUCUAAUAUAUUAACACACAAUAAAAUAUUUUACCGAAAUAAUUAUAAAUCAAACAAUAUAAAUAAAAUAAUAAACACUAAUAAAAAUCGGGGCUUACAACUCUCCCCACUUAAAUAUUAUUCGUCCUCGAAAAUUACCUCAUUUGAUAACUCGGGUAGGAGUCGCGCAUCCUGUUCUCUAUUCCCAUGUCGUGCCUUUCUCCGACUCCACCAAUCCAAACAACCUUCACCAAAUCAAAUUUCCUUUCCCCGUAGGGACUUCGUCUCACGACCUCAUCGAUCCUCAAGGCAUCGUCUCAACCGAAAGUAUCGCGCACUUGAAUAUCAUCCAUUUGAAUCACUAUAGACGGAUCGAAUAUACUUCCUAAGUUUGAGACACCAUGGAACACGUCAUAUGCAAAUUCGAGAGUUUGGCGGUAACGCCACUCUAUAAGCAACUUUCCCACUCUACUCGUAAUUUGAUAUGGUCCAAUGAAACGAGGAGUCAACUUCUUAGUUUCAAGCUCGCUCCAACACCGGUCGUAGUGUGACUCUUAGAAACAAUGAUCACCCUCUUGAAAUUCCAAUCCUUUCUCCUCUUAUCAUUAUAAACUCUUUGCCUACUUUAGUAACAUUUGCAUCUAUCCGAAUCAUCUUAACCGUCUGUUAGUUUCCAUCGAACAAUCUGACGUCCAAGUACCACACUUUCACCAAAUUUCAUGCCAACACAACGGAGUCUCUACACCUUCCCCAUACAAAGCUUCAAAAAACGGCGCCAUUCCAUACUUGAACUGUAACUAUUGCUUGUAUAGUAAAACUUCCACCAACGGAGGUGAGUAUCCAUGAACCUUGUGUCAAGGAAUACACACCACCCUUAACAAAUCUUCCAAAGAUUGGAUGUCCUCUCCGUAGUUGACCAUCCGUCUGGAGAUAUACGCCGAACUCAAACCUCAACUUAGAACCUAAAAGCUUCUGCAAACUCUUCCAAAGAUUCCGAAGUGAACCUUGAUCCUAUCCGAAACACAAUAAAAAAGAGGUAACACCGUGCAAAACUUCACAAUAACAUUUGGUAAUAAAUCUCCGCACAACUCGACACCGAUAACUUAUGUUAAAUAGGAAUUAACGUCAGUCGACUUCGUAAGCUAUCACAAUCAUCCCAAUAGCAUCACAUCCUCGCUAGAUGUAUUCGUAAACGCCGUCACAAAGUACAUGGAAAUGCUAUCCCACUUCCACCAGAAUUCAACGGUUGCAUCAACGCCCGCAGGUUUCUGAUGCUCCCACCUGAUUGAUCUGGCAAUCUUACACGCAUACACAAACUGUAGCUACUUCACGCUUCCAAUCCCAACCACGCUAAAUAAUCUUUUCAAACUUAGUAACAUCUUAGUCUCGGCUCCGGGAUGAAUACUCAAAUUAACUCCUAGCGCUUUCUUCCAAGAUCAACCUUUUUAAAUCGCCGAUCAUGGAACAUAAUAUCCUAUCCACGAAACCUCAACGACAACCUCAUGUGCAUCCAAUUGAAAUCCCAUCAUGUCUCAAAUUGUCCCAGAUCACAGUAUAUAUCACAAGUAUUAUAUCAACUUCUGAGCCCUCUCUAUAUGCUAAUCAGAAAAUCUGUUAAUCUUUACCAUAACCCAAAAUCACACUUCUUGGUGUCACCUCAUCACUAGCCUCAUAUUCAGAAUUUCUCAAUCAAGCAUCCAACAUCUUUCAUCAUCAAGUCCACUAUGCAAAGUUCUCCUACUCUAGAGCUAUCGGCCACCACAUUCGCUUUCCGCGAUGGAGUUCAAACCAAAGUCACAAUCCUUUAAGCAUUCCAGCCAUUCCUUUGUCUCAUGAUCAGCUUUUGAUCAAAACAAAAACUUUAUAGCUGAUUUAGUCACUAACAAGACUUCAAAUCUAGAUCUCAUAAAGGUAAUCUCCAAUAUUUCAAAAAAACACAACCGCCUCGCAAGCUACCAAAUCAUCGUUAGCGGUAGAUCUUUUAUGAAAUCCUAAUUGUCUAGAAGCAUCAGCAACCACACAUACCAAUUCUGACUAAGCGCACACCUAAUCCCAUCUCCGAAGCAUCGCAUAAACUCACAAACGGGUCCUCGUGGAUUUGGCAAAAUGUCAAAAUCGGAGCCCAGUGGUAACCUUUCUCUUCAACUCAAGGAACACUGUCUUCGCAUGGACAUAACCCACACAAAAGCAGCACCUUACAAGUUAACUUAGUCCAAGGAAGUGCCAACUAGAAAAGCCUUCUAUAAGAGCCUCCUAUAGACCCUCAGCCAAGUCCUAGAACUUCUUAAUCUCGGUAACUGCGCUAGAGUUCCCAAUAUGCACACCUCGCAUCAAUCUUCGAUGGAUCAACCGCAAUUCCGUCACCGGAAACAACAUGACCAAGAAAGCUAACUUCUCUCAACCAAAACUCACACUUAGACAACUUAGCAUACAAUCUCUUCUCUUUCAACACUUGUAAAACAAUACGCAAAUGUUCCACAUGUUCUUCAUCCGACUUAGAAUAAACCAAAAUGUCGUCUAUGAACACCACCACAAAUUGAUCCAAAUAAGGAUGGAAAAUGCGAUUCAUAUACUCCAUGAAUACUCCCGGCGCAUUAGUAACACCGAAAGGCAUCACCGUGAACUCGUAGUGUCCAUAACGAGUCCUGAAAGCAGUUUUUUGAAUGUCCUCAUCUUUCACCUUAAUUUGAUGGUAGCCCGACCUUAGAUCAAUCUUACUGAAAAUACGAGCACCCACUAAACGAUCCAUCAAGUCAUCGAUUCUUGGGAGUGGAUACCUAUUCUUAAUCGUCACCUUAUUCAAUUGUCUAUAAUCAAUACAAAGUCGCAUGCUUCCGUAUUUUUUUUUCACCAGCAAAACUGGAGCUCCCCAAGGUGACACACUAGGUCUCACAAACUUCCUUUCAAGCAAAUCCUCUAGCUGACUCUUCAGUUCAGCCAACUCUGAUGUUGACAUCCUAUACGGCGCCAUAGAGAUGGGUCUAGUACCAGGUACAAGGUCAAUAGUAAACUCAACUUCUCUUUCUGGCGGUGCACUAGGAAUCUCAUCGGGAAAAACUUCAGGGAAAUUGCACACCACCGGCAAGCCCGUAAUUACAGCCUGACUUUCCACAGAAAAGCUUGCCAUCAACAAGAACACCAACGCGUCUUCUUCUAUGAACUCCUUCAAUUGUUUCUUGGAUAACAAUUCUGUUCUUCCCUCUUCUUCGGCAGAAGAAAACCUCACAGUGUUGUUGUAGCAAUUAAUAUGAACAUAGUUGGAUUUCAACCAGUCCAUACCCAAUACUACAUCCAACCCGACAAGCGGCAAACAAACAAGAUCAACUACAAAAUCUUUACCAAAUAUUGACAAGGGGCAACUCUUACACACAAGAGACGUAGAUACCGUUCCCUUAGCGGGAACCUCAACAAUCAUAUCUCUACCCAAGGAAGACAAAGAAAGACCCAAUCUUUCAACACAAUCCGCAGCAACAAAACAGUGUGUGGCACCGGUAUCAAUAAUAGUAAUUAAAGGAAUGCUAUUAAUGAAACAAGUACCUCGAACAAGUCCAUCUUCAUUUGUAGUCUGAGUUCCCGACAAAGCAAACACUUUACCACUCUCUUGUCCCCUCUUUGGCUUCUGACAUUUAGCACUGAUAUGUCCUCCUUCCCCACAGUUAAAGCAAACAACAUCCUUCUGCUUACAAUCACGAGCCGCAUGUCCCGACAUACCACAACGGAAGCAUCUCGUUUCACCAAGCCUACACACAUUACUCUUGCGACCCGACUUUCCACACUUGAAACAGAUAACAUUAGCAGGAGCAUCUCCCCCACUUGUUCUUCGACCCAGAAUCACUUUCUGUUUCCCUUUUCCAACCGGAGUUUCAUAUGGCUUACCACGACUGUGUUGGCCCCUUCCUCUCUUCUCAAACAAGAUCUUAUAGUGUGCAUUGUUGUCCUCUUCAAAGAUUCUACAAUUAUCAAUCAGAUCCGCAAAGACGCGAAUCUUUUGAUAUCCCACAGCUUUCUUAAUUUCCGGACGCAAUCCAUUUUCAAACUUGAUGCACUUAGAGAAUUCAGCAUUGGCUCCAUCAUAGUGAGGAUAGAACUUAGCCAAUUCAGUGAACUUAGCAGCAUACUCCGUGACUUACAAGUUCCCUUGCUUCAACUCGAGGAAUUCAAUCUCUUUCUUUCCUCGCACAUCUUCUGGAUAAUACUUCCUCAGAAAUUCUCUACGAAACACUUCCCAAGUAAUCUCCUCGCCCGCAGUUUCAAACCUUAGACGAGUGUCCACCCACCAAUCACCGGCUUCACCUGACAGCUUAUGAGUUCCAUAACGGAUCUUUUGCACAAGAGUGCAAUCCAUCACUCUGAAGAUUCUUUCAAUCUCCUUCAACCAAGCCAAGGCUCCUUCAGGAUCAUACCUACCCAGAAAAGUAGGCGGGUUCUCCCUCUGAAACGUCGCCAGACUACGAGACCCCACGUUCUCGUCAGCAUUGGGUGGGUUCUGGAACGCCUGAGCCAUUGCCUGCAUAGCUGCAGCAAGAGCCUCAUCAUUCCUCCCAGCGUUUCUUCCGGCCAUCUUACACUUCUGCUCACAACACAAACAAGGAUUAGCAACAAAUUAACAACACAAGGUCGUUAAACAACAAAAGACUCAACAACGUGGUCGGAUGGACCGACCUGCUCUGAUACCACUAAUGUAACACCCCAAUUCUACCCGUCGUAAAUUCAAUUAAAAAUCAGAGUAAACAAAUUUCACACAAAAUUGAGGCAUCACAUAUAUCAUUUCAUCAACACUUAAACAAAUUACACAACACGACAAUUGCGCAAGGAUCCACUUAGUCCUUGUUAAAUAAUAAACAACACUGUAUAUGGAUUCACCUAGUCCAUAUAGCAGCAAUACACAAAACAUCGCAACGGAAAUCAUUUAGAUAAUUAAGUUGAGUCGUACAUUUACACAUUCAAAAGAAAACAAGCAAACAAAUGCCCAUCACAACUAUCAUAUACAAUGAUAUACAAAAGAGCAUUGUUACUAUCAAAAUCAUGAAAAGCGUUCAUUAACCCCUGAGUGUUACAAUCCUAAUCAGAGCAAUGACGCCAAAAGUGUGCUACCACUAUCCUCCUCUCAACGCGGAGCACCUGCACGUUACCAAUAUAAAGGUAACGGCCAACAACAAAAGGGUGAGAUACUCAAAUCAUAUAAUCAAGAUAAUGAUAAGCAAUAUAUAAGUAAAUUCGGAAAGUUAGAAAUAUUGUUACCACAUCGCACAAUCCUUCACUUGAAUGCUUAUGUAUUUAAUCAUAAACAAAGUCAAUAAUCAUCCACAACAUCAAUGUUACAUCAUAGCAUCUCAUCACUUUAACAUUUCAUCAAUCCAUCAUAAAACAUUACGAUUCAUCGCAUCAUCGCAAAAUAUCACCGCACAUCAUAAACCGUCACAUAACAACAAUUAUCACAAAAUGCGGAAAUAAACAUAACCAACAUAUGUGACUCAACUAUGCAAAUGCUAUGCGGUACCGACUCGUCGCUUUGCCAUCAAGGCCAAGGCUUUAUGCCCACUUCGCUUUUGCCAAAAGGCCACGUCGCUAUUGCCAAAAGGCCACGUCGCUUAUGCAAAUGUAUGUGACUCCAUGAUAAAUGAUACACAUACACCAAAAUCAUCAUCGCAUCAACAUAACUCAUCACAAUGGCCGAAGCCCACGUCGCUAUUGCCAUUUAGGCCACGUCGCCAUUCACAUGCAUAAAAGCAUUCACACAACAUCAUCUUCACCAACAUUCAUACAUAUGUUUAUAUAUAAAACAAAUGAGAAUAUUCAUCACAAUCAAUUGUUUCAUCAUACAAUCUCUUAGGUAAUUCAACCUCAUGCUAUGUUUAUUUACAUCGCACACCUACACACUAUAGUUAAGUGGUAUUCCUCAUUAAUCAAAUAGGCUUCCUACUAUAUCAAUUAUUAAUCACUUUUCCAAAAUAAUCACUUAUUAAAAUAAGCCCUUAUAAUGGCCUAUAAACAUCAACAACAUGUAGAAAAUUUCAUAAGCUUCGCAACGCUUCGAACGGGGACCAAAACGGAGUUACGGUUCAAAAGUUAUGACUUUUUGAAGUUUACAAAAGAAUUCUGUUUUCAACUCAGUUGGCGCCGCGAACUCUCUUUCGCGCCGCGAAUUUAGCAGGAAACAGAGAAAAUGCGUUUUUGACCGUUAAAUACCUUCCGGACCUCCGAUUUCGAUUCCGUAAAAAGUCUCAUUCUCAGAAUUCAACGAACUACAAUAUUUUCAAUAUUACAAAGCCAUUCUAACCACAAUUUAACUUUUAUUUCAUCAUUCUAAACAUCAUUCAAUUAAUUUCCAACACUUCCUAAAUUCACAAUUUGUGAAAUUACUCAUACUUUGAUUCAUCAACACAAUAGCAUAUUUUUCACAACAUACAUCAACCCCAAACCAUCAACAACAACACAACACACAAUGUUAUUUAUCAUUCUUCUAAACCUAACCCUAACAUUUUGCAAAGAAUUGAUACAUGUUCAAUAAUCACAAACAAUCAACACUACAUCAAGAACACAAACAACAUUUUCAAAGCAAGGAAUCUAAUCACAACAUCAAAACCCAACAAUAUCCUCUAACAACCAUUACCCACAUAAAACCCAUCAUUUUCAUAAUUAUAGGAAAUGAUAAAUCACACCCUUACCUUAGAGAUGAUGAUUGAGUUACUCUAUAGUAUUCUAGCAAGCUUGGGUUGAUCAAGAUGAUGCUCUUCUUCUCCAAUUUCCUCUUCCUCCUCCAAACCUUAACUUUUCUCUCUUUUCUUCUCUUUUCUCCUCCUUCUCUCUACUUCUUUCUAUUUCUCUUCUUUUUAUCUCUAUUCUAUUUCUAUUCUUUGUUUUAAUUAAAUAAAAACUAACUAAUGGGCUUAAUUGUUACAUCUCCCUUAAUUACUAUAUACACCACUAGGCGCAAUAGCUAUUAUACCAUAAUUCUCAUAAUUAAACUCUAAUAAUAUAUUAACACAAUAUAAAAUAUUUUACCGAAAUAAUUAUAAAUCAAACAUUAUAAAAAUAAUAAUAAUAACACUUAAUAAAAAUCGGGGCGUUACAGUCAUCAUCGUCGCCACCUCCGUCGUCGUCUUCGACAGGUAGUGCUUAAUCCAUAUGCUUACUCUUUGAUUCAUUUGCUAUGAUGAUGCAUUGGAGUGUAGAUGAUGCUAUUUGUCACCGUUGCGUAAUCGUUUAUGAAGUUCUGGUAGAAUCUUCAUAUGAGAACUGAGAGUAUUUCUGCUUGUGAAUAAGCGCGUUUGAAAAGCGCUUUUCUGUUUAUUUGUCAUUUUUGUUACUUGCUUUCAAUAGACACAGUGUAGUUAAUUGGUUAAACACCAAGCAACGAUGCCAUGUGAAUUGUGGCUGCACCACUCCUUUGGUAUUCACACCCCAUGCCUUCGAAGGAAAAGGCUAACGGGCCUUGGGGUGGGCCUUAAUGCUCUGGUUGCUAUUCAGGCCAUUCUUGUUAAAUUCUUACUCUUGGUUUUUUGAUUUAAGAAUAUUAACAUUUGGGAUUAGCAUAGGUUUAUCUCAGAUAAUUGGAUUAAUAGAUGGUAAUUAGAGUGCGAUUUGAUAGCUUUUAUUUUAGAAUAGAAUUUGUUAGAAUUUAUUUUCGCUAAUAGUGUGGAAUUGUAUUGUUAGUAAUUUUAGAAUUUCAUUUUUUGUUGUUAAUCGUUUAACAUUAGAAUUUUUUAAUUGUAUGUUGAUAUGUAAAUUCUUGUAAUUCUAGAUUAACAUCUAACAAAACUACCAUCCUAAACAUUUAAUUUCGCACUUCUAACAUCUAUCUUAUAAUUCGCUUCUAACUCCCUUAAUUCGCUAUUGUUAAAUCCCCGCAAUUAACUUCUAACAUGUUAAAAUUUUUUCUUAUUCACAUUUAUUGCUUUUUGUACAUAUUCAUCUCAUCUAAAUGAACAUUAAAAGGUAAAGACUUAUAAAAAUGAAAAAAAAGGAUAAUAAUUCCCAAGGCAUGAAGAGAACGUUUGGAAAUGACUUAGAGACUCAUUAAUCCUUGCAAAGGAGACUUGCGACAAAUGUGAUCAACAUGGAAGAAGCGGUCAAGAAUACAAGAAGAAAUUGUAAUAUCACUUGUUAUAUCUUUUACUUGCUUUCCCAUUUAGAACACAAUUGCACACACAUGGCUUUCUCUUGGGCUACCUGACAAUGAGACCUUUUAUUUCUUGCAAUCCCUUGUACUUUACAUGUACCCCCCUCCCCUUUUCGAUGUACGCAUUUAAUUGCUUUCUUUUAUUGCUUUAUAGUUACUCCUUAGGAAUUAGGAACGUUCACCAUUUCACAAUCAAUAAUCAAACCCUUGAUCCAACGUCAAGCGGUCUCUUUCUUAAAUAAAAAACAAUAAAUAAACCCUUGAUCUAACGUCAAGUGAUCUCUUUUUCCAAAUCAAACUCAAAAAACACAAUAAAUGGCGAUUAGGAUCGUACGUUACGAGCCUUAAGCGAUAAAGAAGGUAUGAGAUUGGCUUAACCGUUUGAGGUAUUCACCUUUAUCCAUAGUCUUUAGUGCAAUCCGAAAUCAAUAAACACUUUUCUCAAAGCUUAAAAACAAUUCCACACAUUCAAACCUUUUAUUUGAGCCUUAGGGCGACACAUUCGAAAACCCUUCUUCAAGGUAAUAAAAUCAACAAAACAAGCCAAACAAUUUCAAAACCACGAACUACGAAGGCUCUGAUUUCUCACUUCAACAAGUGGGCAUACGUAGGCACGAGGAUCCAUUCCUUGGCGAGCACACUAAUUUAAAAUCUACCUCCAUCUCCGCAAACCUUUGGCAAGCAAACAUUUGAUAAACAAGACACACGUAAGCGCAAACAUCCUAGAUGGUUCCCAUGGAGUACCAUGGAUGUGAGGGGUGCUAAUACCUUCCCCUUGCAUAACCGAAUUCCGAACCUGUUCGUGGUUGCGACGACCAUAUUUUGGGGUUUUCUCGAUAUUUUCCCAUUCCUUUGGAAUAAAUAAAAACCGAUGGCGACUCUGUAUUUUUCGCGUAGCGGCAGCUGGCGACUCUGUUGGGGACACCUCCCUAAGCAAGUCAAGCCUAACCUAGGUUGCUUCCUCGCAUGUGUGUAUGCUUAUCCUUUUGAUAUUGCUUGUUUUAUUUAUCGCCUUUUGCUGUAAUAUAUUGUAUGAUUCCAUGGUUCUAUGGUAUCGAUGGAUGCAAAUCCGAUUGCAAGUAACCUUGUGGGAAGACUCUCCAUCCGAGUCUAGAAUGCAAACUUGAGAUAGGAGAGUUUGAGUAGUAUGGGCCACCGAGAAGCUUUUCUCGUAAGGGUCGAUACGAGAACCUCGCCUAGAGUAGAUUCUUUUGGAGACGUUGACGACCGUCAAGCUUUUUGCGUAAGCGAUCAAUGUCUUCAUUUGGAUCCAUGACUCUAAGGACCUUUGUAGAACAUUAAACCUAUGGCCCAUUAAGGUUGAUGGUCGCGUAGUACGGGUCCCCGAGAAGCUUUUCUCGCGUGGGUCGGUACGAAGAUCUCACUCAAAGUAAAUCUUCUUGAUGGAGUUGACGACCGGCAAGCUUUUGCCGUAAGCGGCAAACAGUCAAGGAGGUCCGUGACUUUGAGACCCUUGUCUAGAACCCGAUGUCGAUGGCCGCGUAGUUCGGGCCCCCGAGAAGCUUUUCUCGUGUGGGUCGGUACGAAGAUCUCACCCAGAAGAGGCUCAUUUGAGGGAGUUGACGACCAGCAAGCUUUUGCCGUAAGCGGCAGACAGUCAAGGAGGUCUGUGACUUUGAGACCCUUGUCUAGAACCCGAUGUCAAUGGUCGCGUAGUUCGGGCCCCCGUGAAGCUUUUCUCGUGUGGGUCGGUACGAAGAUCUCACCCAGAAGAGGCUCAUUUGAGGGAGUUGACGACCGGUAAGCUUUUGCCGUAAUUGUCAAAUAGCCAAAUGAAUCAAUGAUUUUGGGGUCCCCAUCUAACCUUAGACUACGACCAGUGAAACCCCAUAUUAGAGAACAAUCAGAAUGUUAUCCUCCAUCCAUAUCUCGAACCUAUGAUCCUGCAUAGUUGUGCAAGUUGUGAAGCCAUGCUUAUGAACCGUACAUCCAUGCAUCCAUGCAUUCAUGCAUCAUAAAUGAUACAAGAAGAUACAAUACUCAUGCAUUGUUCACAUAAACAUCCUGCAUUUCAUGAGACCAAUCUCACUAUCACUUGGCCUUUUUACAGACAAAUUACUUCCCACAAAGCUGAUUUCCCAACAUCUGUCUUGAACUAAAAGCAUGUCGCAGAUCACCAUGGAAGAGUUACAAAGAAAUCAAGAGGCAAUGAAGGUUGAAAUCAACCAGCUGAAGACUCAGAUGAGUCUGAUCAUGGAGAUCCUGCAGUCGAUGCUAAGGAAGGAAGGCAAUCCCGUGCCAGCUGUUGUACCAGAAGUGGUCACUCCGACGAAUAUGCCUAACCCCCUUCCACCUCAGGAGCAGCCUCGUGGAUUUCAUCCACAUCCUAUGCCUCCAAGGGCUCCAUAUCAGCGGCCAUUUCCUGUUCCCCGACCAAGGGAAAGGAACCCUGAGCCGAACCAGUACCCAAAUCAGCUGCGACAACCCACUCGGCAAAGACCAAGAAAGCCAGUAAGGCGUAUUGAUCUACUUCCAAUGUCGUACAGUCAAGUACUAUUGUAUUUGAUCAAAGAUGGAUUGAUAGUGCCAAAGGAACUGCUCCAAGUGAUUCCUCCAUAUCCACCCGACUUUGACGUCAACGCCCGAUGUGAUUUCCAUGCUAGGGCACAGGGGCAUUCAGUUGAGAACUGCAGAGCCUUCAAACACAAGGUACAAGACUUAAUUGAUUCAAGGGCUAUUAUGUUCACACCGCAAGGCCUGGACAUAAUAAACACUCCCAUGCAUCCACGAGAGGGCACAUCUACAAUGCCAUGAUCAGUGCAAAUGGAAGUUAGGGGAGAUUUGAAGAGUCUACGCCUGUGAGAAAAGUCUGAGAAGGGUCUCCUUGAAGAUGGUCAUGAUAUCUGCGGCCAGCCUAAUGAUUCCAGUAUGAGGAUCUAAAUAAGGCCAAUUGUGCCCGUAGUCAUUAGUUUGGUUAAAACAUGUUCAUGUGUGAUUUUCUUGAUUGUCAUUUGUAGCAUUCAUUUGUAAUAAACUUGUUUGUUUUGAAUAAUAAUGACAUUGAAAUGAAUAUGCAUGUUUUGAAUAAAUCCAUUCGUGUCCACUCAUACUUUAUCGUGUCAAUAUUCAACUGUUAGGUUUUGGGAGGAGGAUGAUGAAAUUAAAAACACGAAACGAAUUCACUGCUCGUACGCUUUCGAAUAAAACCUUGCUGAUGAUGUAAGGCAUUGCUUCAAAUCCCAAACACCAGCGAUAUAAGGAAGAUAAUCCCUAGUUAACCCCUUCGAGCCAAGAAGUAGGAGUUUCUUUCGUAAAUAUAAAACCCUCAAUCUCAAACCGGGGCAGGGUAGUCGUUAGUUAGUUUGACCAAGCGUUCGACCUUCAAAAGAGGAGUGUCAUAUAUGAGGAUCAGCCAGAUCUUAUCCCUCACAAGAGGUCGGAAAACACCGAAUUUCAAAUGGUUGUCCCUCACCCACAGGGGCACGAGGCGAUCACAACGCAUUCCAAUCAAACAGACAUAUGUCACACGAUUUGUUUCGAAACAAAAAGAAACAGGAAAAACAAAAAAAAAUCAAAAAUCAAAAAAGAAGGAAAGCCCGCUAAGUCGAAAAUUCGAAAACGAGUAACUUAGGCAAAAAUUAGGGCAUCCCUGUGGAUUGUAAACCUGAACCAAUCCAGCAAAAGUAGAGAAAUCGAAAAAAAUCUGUAUAAGAGGAAUCAAAAGAAAAUCCUCAGCAAGAACAAAAUCCUGUGGCUACCAAACAAGAGAAAGGUGAUUGUCACACUAAAAACCUCAUGGGUCCAUUAACCUUUUCACUUCAAAUCCCUUCUGAAAGAAGAGCGUUUGUUUCAAACUAGCUGAACGUAGGACUGAAGAACAUCACGAAGAGUGGGUGGGUUAGGAUAGGUUUGAGCCUUGUAUCCUUUCUUUAUAAAACCGUGAACUAGACCACGUUACAACCCUCAAAAGACCUAAUUGAAGCAAGAGUUUAUUUCGAAGGCGUACUAUAGUUAGAAUGAUCGUGUUAAAACUGGCUCCUCAAUAAUUUGCUCAUAAUUUGUGUGGAUAUUGAUAUGACAUUCUCAAUCAGUGAUGCAUUCAUAUAUGUCAUAAUUUCAGUGAGCAUGCUUGGAUUUCAAAAUUAGCAUAAACAUGACAUUGUUAUUAUCAUUUCUAAAAAUUAACAUGCGUUACUCAUGAGUGAGCAAUUGAUGUCAAGAGAUUUCCCAUAAUGAACGUGCAUUGGAAAGCUUGAUAGCCCCAGAAGAGAAUGAUGCCUAAAGACUUUGUUAAGCAAAGGCCAAUUACUUCAACUGAUUGAAUCCUAAGAUAGAACACCUGAGAACUCCGUCGAGCAGAAACAGGUCGCCUUGAUUUGAUCGUACUUAGAGAGAUAAGACGCCUAAGACUCCGUUGAGCAGCGCCAAUUUUUUUGAUCGAUCACAAUGAGUGUUGAGAGCCUGAGACUCCGUUGAGCAGCAACCAACUACCUUAUGUGAUUACAUCAAGGAGCCGAAGGUCCAAGAACUCUGUUGAGCAGAAGGACAAGAUGUUUCAUAUUUCAAUCAAUCUGAGGUAGUUAUGUCAAGAAAUUCCAGCAAGAUUCAGUCAGUCUGAAACAGUUAGGUCGAGAUUCGGCGAAUCUCUCCAAAGAUCAGAUAGUCAGGGGAGUAAAUCACUCCAGUUGAUCGCGUCAGAAGGCCAAGCGCCUAAGACUCCGUUGAGCAGUGCCAAACCAUUUUUGAUCAACCACAACGAGUGUUGAAAGCCUGAGACUCCGUUGAGAAGAAAUCAGCCACUCCGUGUGAUUAUAUCAAGAAGAAGAAUGUCUAAAGAACUCCACUGAGAAGAAAAGACAAGACACUUCAAUUUUCGGUCAAUCUGAAGCAAUCACGUCGAUAAAUCUCUAUAAGAUUUGGUGAUCUAAGGAAGUUACGUCGAGAUUCGACAAAUCUCUACAAGACAUUAGUCAGGGGCAUUCCCUCAGAAAUCGGCAAUCAGAGGCAGAAGUUUAUUCCAAGACCUACAUUGGGAAAAGCUACCUCAGGAAUCUAAGAAAUCAAUCUUUUAGAGAUAGUUAAUCAGAGGUAUACAGUUCCAUGAUACUGGGGCAGGUCCGAUCGAGAUGGCUAUCAUGAUAAAACGACUUCAUAAUUGGUGACUAGGGCAAUACAUGAAAAUUCCCAACAUACUGGGGCAUGGCUAAUUAGAGAAGGAACAUCCUCUCUGUACUCUUGAGGUUGUUCAGAGCAGGAUCCAUGGUGCAUAAGAGACUGCUAAGUUCAAGGAGAAUGUCGGGGAGUCAUGCUAAACACAUCCCCUAACCUUUCAACAGAGAACACUGAUCUUAAUUGAUGAACCCAGUGGUUACUGGUACCCAAUGUUCUCAAUCUCCAGACAUUUCCUGCCAUACCGUCUAACCAAAGGCCUGACCACGCAUCAGCAUUGCAUAAAUAAUCAUGCAAAUGUAUUGUAACGUAGGGGUUUUCCUGCAUCGUAUAAGGUAGAAGAUGGAGCAUUACGCCAUAUAAAAUAAACAUGCAUAACUGCAUAAAAGUCUUUCUCGAAAGCAUAAAAAGGAAAAGAAAAAAUCAGUUGUUGAUACGUUCUUCCUCCCCAACGAGAACAUCAUCAAGAAUCCUUGGAUUGGUAUUCCUCGCAGGUUUUCCCGAGAUAUUUCUUCUUCGUGUUGCCUUUUGCAAGUACCCUUUGGUGUCUUUCAUCAGUCACUUACCUUUCGUAAGUCCUUUUCGGCCGCGUGCCAGUCCUCCUUGCCUUUCGCUUGGAGAAGAUUAUUGAGACAACUUACCUUUCGUGAGUUUAUUUCGUUUCUUUGUGCACGAAAUCACGUCUCCUCCUUGAUGCCUUUCGCACGAGAAGGGUACCUUUGUCAGAUCUUUGCAUCCUGUUUAUUUAAACACUUGAUGUAGGUUUGGUGAGUCCCGGGGUUUGGGUAGCCAUUGUUUGAGAACUUCAUCCCCGUCGUUGUUCCUGAGGGACAAUAUGAGGUUUUCAUACCUAUUUGCAAAGUUCCCCACAUGUCAGAGUGUGCCAAAGCCCAGAUUUGUCUGGCAGAUCCACUUUAGUCUAGGUUUACCUAGCAGGAAUUGUCCCACUCUUUGUUUUGCCUCGUGCAAAUAUUUGUGACCUUUCGUUCUUUACUUACCUUUCGUAAGUAUUCCCUGCCUUUUGCAUGGUAGAACUUCCGCUGCUAGCUUACCUUUCGUGAGUCCCCUUUGUGCCUUUUGCAUAAAGAUUUCUAUCCCCAACUGCUUACCUUUUGUAAGUCUCCUCAGCCUUUUGCUCGAGCAUUGCUAUUCUUGAACUUGCUUACCUUUUGUAAGUGAUCCCUGCUUUUGGCCUGGAAGUAUCCCCCUACAAAGAAGUCAUUACUACCUCUUGUAUGGGAAGAUUUUCCUUUUCGAUUUCUUCUUAACCCUCUGUUAAGAAGUUUCUCACUACCUUUUGAAUGAGAAAUCCCCUCCAUUUUUCUUCUUAACCUUUUGUUAAGAAGUUUCUCACUACCUUUUGUAUGAGAAAUCCCCUCCAUUUUUCUUCUUAACCUUUUGUUAAGAAGUUUCUCAUUACCUUUUUGUAUGAAAAUCCCUUCAUUUUUCUUAUUAACCCUCUGUUUAAGAAGUUCUCACUACCUUUUGUAUGAGAAAUCCCUUCCUAUUCUUUCUUAUACCCUCUGUUAAGAAGUUUCUCUUACCUUUUGUAUGAGAAAUCCUUUCACCUUUCUUCUUAACCUUUUGUUAAGGAGAUCUCAUUACUUUUGGUAUGAGGGAUCAUGUCAUUUCAUGCGCCUCUUAACCUUUUGUUAAGAAGUUCUCACUACCUUUUGUGUGAGAAUCCCCAGCAGACCUUGUGUCUAGGAGUUCCCGUUACCUUUUGUACGAGAAUCUCAUACCCCAUUCUCUUCUUAACCUUUUCUUAAGGAGUUCUCACUACCUUUCGUGUGAAAAAUUCGACCAUCUUUCUUCUUAACCUUUUGUUUGGAAGACCCCUUUUUUCUUGGGCAGAGGAGCCAUUGCUACCUGUUGUACGAAAAAAAAUCAUAUCCCCUAGCAAGGUCGUAUCAUUCCCAUUUUCUUCUUAACCUUUUGUUAAGAAGUUCUCAUCACCUUUUGUGAGAGAAAUCUGUCUACCCCUGUCUUCUUAACUGAAUUUGAAGAUUUUGUUUCUCUUGCUGAGGAGUCGUUGCUACUUGUCGCGAGAAAAUGGCACUUCUUAGUUGAGAUGGUUGCCUUUAGCAAGAUGUCUCUUUGCCUUUUGCAGGGGGUAUUAUUUCAAUUCUUUUAUCCACCGGUACUUGCCUUCUACAAACACCCGUUUCUUUUGCCAUUAUGGGAUCCUGCGGGAAUACCUCAAUCACCUGUUACAUGCCAAGACAUGAUAGGGGAGGCAAGAAAGGAAAAAAAAGAAAAAAAAAAGGAGAAAAGAGAAAAAAGAAAAGAAUGAAAAGAGAAAUGAAAACAGGAAAAUGGAAAAAAGAAAGAGCUUAGAGAAAGACUAAAAUAAUCUAUCAUACUGCAUUAGCAUAUGGCAUAUGUCAUGCAUACCCAACCACCCACGUACUACCACAUGACAUUCUGAUUCCCAGCAGCUGCCCUGCACAAACACUAGCUUGUUCAUCCCACAUAUCCUAGUGAAGAAGACCCUCCUUGUGACCUAUCUUCACAUAACUUUCCAUUUGUUCCGCGUGGGCAAAUUUUCGGAUAUUCUAGUAUUUAAUCCCCUCCCACCUCGAUGGUCCGGACGUCGUUGCUAUCCGUACAUUCAGGUUCGAGAAGAUUAAAUAGGGGCAGCUGUCAUACCCCAAAAUUCACCCUACACAUUCACAAUGUUCAUCUAGGUCACUAACUUAAACAUUUGCAUAUCAUCAUGAGCAUGCAUUUCAUCUACAUAAGCAAGGUUUAACACAAGAGAGCAAUGACUUGAAUUUAGAGCUUUAUGCUUACACCUAGUGGAAACUAGGAUUUCUCAGCAAACUUGGGGUGGCCCCAAUCAAACUCUAGCAUGGAGAUGCUUGUAUCUGGUGUCAAUGGUGGCUUCUUGAGGGAGCAAAACCCUAAUUUAGGGGUCCUCACAUGGUCAUGGCUCCAUAAACCCUAAUCAUGUCCAAUACCCAUUGUGUGGCCUCCUAACCCUAAUUUCAGCUGGCACAUCAUCAAUCUUAUGAUGCUUGAUCUCCUUGCUUGGUUAAUGGCAUUCAACAGUUGCUCGUGGUUCAUUCAUGUUGAGUUCUUGGUUGUGUUCUAUUCACCAUGCUCAUGACCAUUGGUUUUGUGUGCGUAUAGGUUGUGGUUCAUGUCACAUCUUGAUCCUUUCUAAAUCUUGUUUCAUGUUAUUCAUUGAGCAGUUCAUUCAAUGUUCAUAAUGUCCAUUUCACUCUGUUCCAAUACAUGUUCAAGAUUCAUUUAUUCAUAUAAAAACUUCAGAUUCAUUCAUUUCAAGAGCCAUUUAGUUCAAAUACCAAUCCAAGUUCAUUCAAAUGAGGAUGUCAUUCAUUACAUGAUCAUAAAAGGUUCAUUACAUGAAAAAUGCAAAGAGAGGUAUGUUAACCAACAAUUGACUUUUUGACCAACAAUUGACUUUUUGACCAACAGUUGACUUUUUGGUCAACUUUGACCAAAGUCAACUCAAACCCUUAAGUCAUGACCUAUGCACAUUCAAGCCUUGUCAUUCACUCAAGUUUUGAUUCCAUGAGGUUAUGUGAUUCAUCUGUGAAGAGUUCAUUGGCCCUGUCAUGUAGGGCAUUCCAUGUCAUGUUUUAAUUAAUCCAAUACAAAGUCAUGUCUUGAUUCAUGAUCAUUACAAGUGUCCAUUCAUAUUCAAGAAUUAAUUUCAAGUGUCAAGAUCAAGUCAAAAUCUCACAUUCAUUCACAAUCAUUUACAAUUCAUCACAAAUGUCCAAGCAUUGAGAAAAUUACAAAAAAGUGGAAGUUUGACCACAUGUUGACUUUGGUUAAUAAUUGACUUUUUGGUCAAAGUUGACCAAAGUCAACCCAACCACCUCCUCUUCAAAACCCCUUCCUAAUAAAAAGUCUAACCCUAAACACCGGUGGCAUGGUUGACAAUCGUGUUCCAACAAAUGCUGUUCGAACGUUCUCAUCUGAUAAAUCAAACCACAUGGCAGUAACUUCUUCAGUUUCGAUGGUUUCUAUUCCUCCCCAUCUUUCUCCAGGAUCUUCUGCAGCAUUGCAAUAUCAGUCAACCAGCAAUGAAGUCAGACCGCCCAUUAUUUCUGGUGUAAUGCCUAGCAGUCACAUGGGGAGAAAUCCAUCUUCUGUAGGAUUGCCUAGAGUUGAGAACCCACAGUUUAAAGUUACUGGAGGACUGAGUGGGGCCCCUUAUGUGCUUCAGGUCCAAUCUGGUGUAAUGCCUAGCAGUCACAUGGGGAGAAAUCCAUCUUCUGUAGGAUUGCCUAGAGUUGAGAACCCACAGUUUAAAGUUACUGGAGGACUGAGUGGGGCCCCUUAUGUGCUUCAGGUCCAAGCAAAUUCAUUGGAAAACCAAUCAUUAGUGAAUGCUCCUACAUGGUCAAUACAGACUCAACCUGUGUCAUUAGCUAGAAGUGUAUCAGAAAACAAGGCGCCUGCUCAUAAUACUUCCAAGGUGGAAGGAACUUCUUAUGUAACUGUAUCGAGGGCAGGUCCACAAGUAGCAACAGGUCAGAGCAUUAGACCAUUUAUUACUCAAACGGGACCUGGAAAUAUGUCUAGUAUACACCAGCCAUUGCAGGGUGGGAACAUGGUUCAACCUCCUUUGGUUCUUAGUCACUCUGAUAUUGCAAAGAUUGUCCAGAAGUUAUUACUACCAAAGCUUCUUGAACAUCGCACAUGGAUUCCUCCGUCAAGGGAUUAUAUGAAUAAGGCUUUCACAUGUCAGACAUGUGAGCUCACUGCCAGUGAGGUUGAUUCUGUUCUUCUCUGUGAUGCUUGUGAAAAGGGAUUUCACUUAAUGUGCCUGCAACCAUCAGUAAUUAGAGGAAUUCAUAAUAUAGUUGAUUGGCACUGCACGAGAUGCUUGAGUUUAAGCGGCGGAAAGUCUUUGCCUCCAAAAUAUGGCAGUGUGACGAGAUCUUCAAUUACAUCACCAAGUUUUCCCUCUAAUACAAUUGGUAUUCAACCAUCUUCAGAGAAGAAAGCAGAUAGCUUAGAUCUAAAGGUCAGCCCACAAUAUUUUACACAAAUGGAAACUCUAUCCCAACUGUUUCCAGUGCCAACCACAGUACUGAGUCGUCAUUUGACUCAAAUACCCCACACACAAGAGAUAUACAAGGUUCCAUCAUUUCAUCUAGCAUUAACCAUUGAAGAGAAGCCUGAUCCAAGCAUAUUUAUGAAAUAUGCAGCUUGUAGUGUUUCCACUGGCUUGCAGGGUGAAAGUUGUGCUGAACAGAUAGAUUCAAAGGCUUUGACCUGUAAAGAUACUUCUGAAUCAGAAACUCUUCCUAAAUUAUCCGAGCCGGCUAAAUGUGAAAAUUUGCAAUCAUCACAAGAUUCUCAUGUUGAGAUGGCAGUGUCAGAGGACAAUGCUGAAAUAUCACCAGAUAGACAUGAUAGCAGUGGUUUUAUGAUUAGUAAUCAAAAGGAAUCUCAUGGAGGAGAAAAUAUAACUCAUGAUAUCAAGAGCGAUGAUCUAGAUGUUGCACAACCAAUUUCUUUUGGAAGUUCUGGAACUAAUACUGAAGGUAUUCAGCACUCUGCUAUAUCUUCAGAUAGCUCACAUGCUGUUGAAUGGAUUGGUGAUGUUGUACAACUCGUAGAUGAGAAAAAGUAUUACCAAUCUUGCUGCAUUGAUGGAGUAACAUAUAGGCUGCAUGGUCAUGCUUUUUUGACAUCCAACCAUGGCAAACUGAAACCUUCUAAACUUCAGUCCAUGUGGGAAGAUUCCAAAACUGGGAUGAAGUGGGUAAAGGCAACAAAGUGCUACUUUCCCGAUGAUUUGCCGGGAGAUAUUGGUCAUCCUUGUAUAUCUGAAGUCAAUGAGGUUUAUGAAUCUAAUAGUGAUAGGAUUGAAAUGGCAAGCUCAUUCCAUCCUAAACCUGCAUAUCCAUAACACCAUUCAGCAUCAAUAGUGCGCAACAAGGUUAGGAGCAUCGUGUGGUAGCAAGCAAAACAAAGGGUAAAAUGUCCAAUGCAUACAUAACCACACAUACCAAAUCAACGCAUAGUGACCAGAGUUGGAACAUUUAAAUUGAGCUAAGUCAUAUAGACCAAGAACCCCACUGCAACUGCAGAACUACCUCCAAAAGAGGACCAAGGUGAUUCUAAUGGCUACACCAGCAAAAUCCAUAACAGUUGGCAAUGCAAGGCAAGAAAUGGAAUUUGAGUCAUAAUCAUGGUAACUACCCUGUUGCAGAACCAAAGCCAAGAAAACCUGCAGAAACAGGGCAAGUUAUCUGAGCAUACCAACACAGACCUACAAUCCAAAGAACAGUUCAAUUCAAAUCAAUGAGUUUCAAAACAAUAAGCAGUUCAGGAAGUUAAGGGAUCCAAACCAGUUUGGUUCAAUGCAAAUAUCCACUGUUGGGACUUCAGUGAAUAAGUCAAGGAGUGAAGCCUGACAUUCAAUUUUCUGAAUCCCACGUGACUUAAUUCAUGAUGUAAAAACUCACCUUCUCAUUCACUUAAAAUGCCAGAUGGAUGAUUCAGAUUUAACCAUUCAGACUUAAUUCUCCAAUUUUCCCUUGGAUCAAGCUUAUAUAAGAGGCAAUCAUUGCCAAUCAUUGGGGUUCAGACUUUUUUCCCUCAUUCCAAAAGCAUCGUGCAAUCGCUUCCCUCCCAUCUUCAGUACACGCUUUUUUUUUCUUUCUCCAUUAUUGUGAGAGCUUCAUCACUCGAAGCUCUACACGGCAGAGCUAAGCCACCUCCACCGCCGGAAGCUUCGAAGCUCGAAGAACGUUAUCGCUCACACGCUUCCAAUUCACUCCAACAUUGCGAGAAGAGGAAGAGAGGCGCUCAGAAAUUGUGCUCGUGUUCGUCAUCAUCGUCGCCACCUCCGUCGUCGUCUUCGACAGGUAGUGCUUAAUCCAUAUGCUUACUCUUUGAUUUAUUUGCUAUGAUGAUGCAUUGGAGUGUAGAUGAUGCUAUUUGUCACCGUUGCGUAAUCGUUUGUGAAGUUCUGGUAGAAUCUUCAUAUGAGAACUGAGAGCAUUUCUGCUUGUGAAUAAGCGCGUUUGAAUAAGCGUUUUUCUGUUUAUUUGUCAUUUUUGUGACUUGCUUUCAAUAGAUACAGUGUAGUGAAUUGGUUAAACACCAAGCAACGAUGCCAUGCGAAUUGUGGCUGCACCACUCUUUUGGUAUUCACACCCCCUGCCUUCGAAGGAAAAGGCUAACGGGCCUUGGGGUGGGCCUUAAUGCUCUGGUUGCUAUUCAGGCCAUUCUUGUUAAAUUCUUACUCCUGGUUUUUUGAUUUAAGAAUAUUAACAUUUGGGAUUAGCAUAGGUUUAUCUCAGAUAAUUGGAUUUAUAGAUGGUAAUUAGAGUGCAAUUUGAUAGCUUUUAUUUUAGAAUAGAAUUUGUUAGAAUUUAUUUUCGCUAAUAGUGUGGAAUUGUAUUGUUAGUAAUUUUAGAAUUUCAUUUUUUGUUGUUAAUCGUUUAACAUUUAGAAUUUUGUUAGAUUUUUAUGUUGAUAUAAAUUUCUUGUAAUUUCUACUUGAUUUAACAUAUAACAAACUACCUCUAACAUUUAAUUUUCGCACUUCUAACAUCUAAUUCUUUACAAUUCCACUUCUAACUCCCUUAAUUUCCGCAUUUUAAAUUCCGCAAUUAACUUCUAACAUUUAAAUUUGUUCCUUUAUUUCACUUUUAUUUUGCUUUUUGUUACAUAUUCAUCUCAUUCUAAAAUGAACAUAAAAAAGGCAAAGACUUAAAAAAUGAAAGAAAGAUAAUAAUUCCCAAGCAUGAAGAGAACUUUGGACAAUGGACUUAGAGACUCAUUAGGAUCCUUUGCAAAGGAGGACUUUGGACAAAUGUGAUCUAACAUGGAAGAAGCGUGCAAGAAUCAAAAGAAUUUGUAAUAUCAAUUGUAAUCUUUUACUUGCUUUCCCAUUUAGAACACAAUUGCACACACAUGGCUUUCUCUUGGGCUACCUGACAAUGAGACCUUUUAUUUCUUGCAAUCCCUUGUACUUUACAUGUACCCCCCUCCCCUUUCCGAUGUACGCAUUUAAUUGCUUUCUUUUAUUGCUUUAUAGUUACUCCUUAGGCAUUAGGAACGUUCACCAUUUCGCAAUCAAUAAUCAAACUCGUGAUCCAACGUCAAGCGGUCUCUUUCUUAAUUAAAAAACAAUAAACAAACCCUUGAUCCAACGUCAAGUGGUCUCUUUUUCCAAAUCAAACUCAAAAAACACAAUAAAUGGCGAUUAGGAUCGUAUGUCACGAGCCUUAAGCGAUAAAGAAGGGAUGAGACUGGAGCUUUCCUACACUCAUUCUGAAUGCUUCGAACACAAGACAUUUGGCUUGACCGUUUGAGGUAUUCACCUUUAUCCAUAGUCUUUAAUGCAAUCCGAAAUCAAUAAACACUUUUCUCAAAGCUUAAAAACAAUUCCACACAUUCAAACCUUUUGUUUGAGCCUUAAGGCGACACAUUCGAAAACCCUUCUUCAAGGUAAUAAAAUCAAUAAAAUAAGCCAAACAAUUUCAAAACCACGAACUACGAAGGCUCUGAUUUCUCACUUCAACAAGUGGGCAUACAUAGGCACGGGGAUCCAUUCCAUGGCGAGCACACUAAUUUAAAAUCUACCUCCAUCUCCGCAAACCUUUGGUAAGCAAACAUUUGAUAAACAACACACACGUAAGCGCAAACAUCCUAGAUGGUUCCCAUGGAGUACCAUGGAUGUGAGGGGUGCUAAUACCUUCCCCUUGCAUAACCGACUUUCGAACCUGUUCGUGGUUGCGACGACCAUAUUUUGGGGUUUUCUCGAUAUUUUCCCAUUCCUUUGGAAUAAAUAAAAACCGAUGACGACUCUGUAUUUUUCGAGUAGCGGCACAUAACCUCUAUAUGGGAUGAGGCCAGGCUGAUUCGUCUCCCAUUCACCCUUAAUCUGAUUAACAACAAGGGCCGAAUCACCAUAAACAUCAAGAUGUUUGAUCCUAAGAUCAAUACACUCUUCCAAUUCCAUAAUACAGGCCUCAUACUCAGCCAUAUUAUUCGUGCAUUUGAAAGUUAGCCUUGCUGUGAAAGGAAAAUGUGUGCCCUGAGUAGUAAUAAUCACUGCCCCAAUAGUAUUUCCAUAUUGAUUCACAGCGCCAUCAAACACCAAAUUCCAUCGAGAAUCGGGCUCUGGCCCUUCAUCGAGCGUAGGCUCAUCACAAUCUUUCAUUUUCAAAUACAGGAUCUCCUGAUCUGGGAAGUCAUACUGAACUGACUGAUAAUCUUCAAUUAGUUGAUGUGCCAAGUGGUCAGCCAAGAUACUACCUUUUAUAGCCUUCUGAGCUCGAUACUCAAUAUCAUACUCAGACAACAACAUCUGCCAACGGGCGAUCCUCCCAGUUAAAUAAGUUCAAAUAUGCAUGAAAUGAUGAAUUAAAGAACUUCCCUUGAUUGUAUUUGACCAUGGGUUAAGGUUGCUUCAUGAGCAAGGCACAGUUGAUAGACAGAUGAGCUAGGGUUUCCUUGGGAAACAAACCUCAAACCCCUUGAUUUGCUUUGAUCAAAAUGAUGAAUUAAGAUACUUGGGAGACAUAUUUGAUGGAUGGGAGCUUUGGUAACCAUUACCAUGCUUGCUUUCAUCUUCUCUUGACCAUACCAUUGCACAAAGGAUCUCCUAGAAGCUUUAGACCUUGUGACUGCUCAAACUAUAAACAAAAGAUGUUAGUGACAUAUUUUUGUGCUUUUGAGUUAGGAAAUGGGAAAAGCAAUAAUAUACAAUUUUAGCAUGCUUGGUGAUCUCAAAUCACUCACCAGAAGUCCCAAUCUAAAGGCAAAGGGAAUCAAGAUGCUUAUGAUCCUUUAGGCUAUGCAAAUGCAAUGUAAUGAUGCCAUGAGGGAUCUUAGGGUCAAAAUUAGGGUCUCACACGUGGUACCUUACCAUGUUUCGUAUUCUACUUAAGUACACCGUAUCUUACGAUGUUCUACAAUUCACUUAAGGGCACCGUACAUUAUGGUAUUCCUUAGUUACUCUAUCUCUCAUCAAUCCGUCCUUUUAUGUGUGACCCUGUAGGUUUUCGCGGCAUUGACAAUUAUAUUAAAUCAUGUAUUUAACAUAAUAAACAGUGAGCGGUAUCUAGCAAUACAUCAUUGCUACCCAAGAGACGAAAAUGUCAUGUGAUCUGACAAAUCCUUUUGUGAUAAUACUUAUGUGUACAAUUAUCCUUUUGCCCUUAUGUCUAUAUUGAACACAAGCCAUAGACCGUGUCAUCCUUGUCCAGUUCAAUAUUGGGCCCAUAGACAUUUAUCCUGUUAUGCAGGAUGGGCAAAUUCCAUCUAGGUGACUCAUGUCCCUUAGCAUGCUUCGUGGAGUACCCAUCAACUAUUUUUAUGGUCAUCCAGUUACAGACAAUGUUUGAUCAGCAAUAAGGCACUCGACUCUACAUCUAGGGUCCAUAGUGGUUUUAGGCCGAAGGGUGGUAUACACCAUUAUCACCAUGAGAAUAACUUAUGACACUUUGCAUAACAUUCUAUAUAGUAUUCUCAUAGCGGGUCAAUCCAGUAUAAAUAUUACUCUUAAUAUUCAUAUCUAUGUUUAAAAUUGAUAACUCCUUAUCCAUGAUCCAAAGAGAUGUGAUCAUCAGUCUAAUACAUAAUUAGUCUAAUGCGUUUAAUGUUAUCCCGAUUUUUUGUAUUUUUUAUUUAGUUUUUUUUAUUAUGGUUGUUUUUAAUAAGUCUAGACAUGCUAGUUUGUUUAAUGUAAUCAGUUUGUGACUUAAUCAAUGAGAAUCCAACAUUUACACAUAAGGAAAACAACUAUUUUCUUUUUAAGAAGUUAUGCCAUAGUCGAAGACUUUUGCCACUUCACAAUAAAGUUCGACUAUGGAUACUUUAAGAAUAGUGUCCUUAUGUGUAAUGUGAUUCUCAUGAUUAAGUCACACUUGAUACAUUAAACGGACUAGCUAUUCUAGGGACUUUAUUAAACAAACAUAAUAAAGAAAAAGCCUUUUAUUAUUAAUAAAUAAUUCUAUACAAGUACCAAAAGUAUUGGCCUCUAGGGCUUACACCAACAUGUACUCCUCUACAGAUAUUAGAAUUGGAAUGCAUCAUGUGGCCAAUAAUUCGGUGUUGGGCCUCUAUAAUUGGAUAAUGGAAUUGAUUCCUAAUAUUAGUCGGGGUCUUGGGAUUGGAUGUCGUGUCUUAAAAAAUAAAAUAUCUUAAAUAAGCACUUAAACGAAUUUUUAGUAAUAUAUGUUUUCAAAUUCAAUAGUGUACAUGAUAACAUAUUUUUCAGUUGGUUAGAGCAUUGUGCUAAUAAUGUGAAGGUUGCAGUAUUUUAGUUGUUUUUUUAUUUGUUUCUAUAUGUUAUGUUUUGCAACCUUUUAUCCUAUUUUUUUAUUUAGUCAUUUACAAUCAUAUAUCCAUACAUACCUACAAACUUAACUCGUUUAACAAGACUAUAUGUUUUGAUAUAUUAUGUUUUGCAACUUUUUAUCCAUUUUUUAUUUUUAUUUGGUCCCUUGCAAACAUAUUUUUAUUUGUUUUUAUAUAUUAUGUUUUGCAACCUUUUGUCCAAAUUUAUUUAUUUAUUCAAUCCCAUAUAAUCAUAUGCCCAUACACAACUAUCAAUUUAACUUAUUUAACGAGACUAUAUGUUUCUAUAUAUUAUGUUGUGCAACCUUUUAUCCAAUAUUUUUAUUUAUUCAAUCCCCUGCAAUCAUAUGUCCAUACACAACUACCAAAUUAACUCGUUUAACGAGACUAUAUAUUAUAAUAUUUCACUAAUAAGUUAAACAUUAGAAAAUAUAUGACCUUAUGAUAAAGGAAAUGAUUAGCUAAUAGUAACUUGAAAAAGUCCCACGAAGAUUUAAAAUUAGAAGACAACUCUAAUAAACAUCCUUUUGCAUAGAUGCAUCUGUACACAGAACAUGUUGAUGACUUUUUCAUGAGUUGAAAUCUUUUUUCUUCCACCUUUAAAGUGUAUACAUCCAUCAUUGUGACACUAGAUUGUGAUGAAUAAGUCACAUAUGGAAUAUCGAUAUUUCACAUUGGAUUGGAAUAUCUUUGAUAGAGACCUAAAGAGCUUGAUACACGAGCUCUCCAAUAUUUAAGUAACAACGGGGUGAGUACUUGCUGGAUGUUGAAAUGUGCAAUUGCAAGCGAGUUACUUGAGGACAAACAACGAUUCAAGUUUGGGAUUGUGAUGAAAGUCCGUCAUCGCAUAUAUUUAGUCGAAGAAUCAGAGCAAAAUAAGUGAAAGUUAAGCCAAAAUGAAGAAGAAUGACCAAAGAAUGAGGAAAAAAUAGUUAAGUGUGGAAGUUGUGAACUUAGUGAAAAUUUGAGUGAAAAAAGAGAAAAAAAAGGAUGCAUCUUCGGGAAUAAUCACAUACACCAUCAUGCAGCAUCGCGCAUGCGAUAGGGUCAUUAAAGCUGCAUCACAUGCGCGAUGCAAGGUAUCACACACGAUAGGGGAUGCAUCUUCUGGACUUUUCUGACGCGUUCUUGUCCAUUAUAACGCCUUUAAAAGGGGAUUUUCUACACUUCCAUAAGGGUUACAAAAUUGAGAGAUCAAGGCACAAUUUUGAGAGCAUACAUGGUGAUUUUUAGAGCAUUUGAAGUCAUUGGAGGUCAUCACUUCAAGGGAUUUAUUAUGUUAUUUUCAUCUAUCAAUUUUGGAAUUGUUAAUUGCACUAUGAGUAGCUAAGCUCCUCUAGGUUAGGUUGUGUUAUGAUAACCUAUUUUUAUAUUGUUAAAUUCUAUGUUGAUUUGAACAUUGUAUGAACCUAUUGAUCUAUAAUCUUAUUCAAUUGCUUCUUGUUCGUAAUGUUUUUUAUGUGAGAUACUCUUUUAAUCUGAUUUUGGGCAUAUAGGGAAUAUUUACCAUUAGUAUAUAUGUUGGACCUAGGGCAAUUAUUGUGUUUACGCUGGUUGAAUAGGAAUAGGAGACCCCGAGUAGUGGCAUAGAGAAUUAACAUUAUAUCCAUCGCCUAACCCUGCUUACGCUGGCGGACUAGGGAUAGAAAGCUCCAAGUAGUGGUUAGUGAGUUAUUUCAUGAGAGAUCGACUAUAACGGUUUUGUUAAUUUGUCGUGGGGUUAUAUUGAUUAUAUCAUUCGUACAAGAUAUCAAACAUCAACAAAAGAGGAAUAAUAGAUUCUAGAGCACAACCUGACCACUUCGUGAUAUUGUUUACUCGUUUAUUUACUUUUCGUACUAAAAUCCGAAACCCCCAUUUUUUUACUAGUUUUUAUACAUUGCACGCAUUUUGUCUUGCUUGGAGGCAGUCCCUGUAGAUUUGGUCUUUUUAUUACUUCGACAUUAUCGGUACAUUUUCCGAGAAGUCAUCAUUAAUCCAGUUACCAAACUCUAUACAUCUAGAAAGGUUAGCUCGUGAUCCUAGUUUUAUCUCCCCUGAACACUUAAUCUCAUUAAAAUCCCCUAUCAUUAACCAAGGAGGAGAGAUGUCACUUAAUCUCCUACCAAAUAUCCCAUAUCUCAAACUCCCUAGGGCUGACAUAAACCACUAUUAACAAUUAUGAUUAUUGUCAUUACUAACAUUAACAUGGAGAUAAUAUUGAUAUUCUUGAACCCGGGUGAUAUUUAAGUCAUCUCAGUUCCAUAUCCACCAAAUACCUCCAGCAAAUUCCCAAGCCUCUAUUAUAGUAUUCUUGCAAAACCCAAGAUUCUUAAUAGUAUUAUUGGCUUUAAUACCACUACAUAUUAUUUCUUGAAGAGCAACCAUAUUCACUUUAUAAUAAAUACAAUAAUUUUUUAGUGCUCUGCCAAAAAUAUUUCCUUGAGCUCCCCUGCAAUUCCAAGAUAACAUAAUCAUUAAACAAAUACAAUAACUAGCAAACCUUAACUAUAGUUUACUCAUCUUAACCAAUUUCCAUGUCCCCCGCAUUAGCCACAUAUGUGUUGCUCUUUAUAUCCUCAUCUUGUUCGUCCCAGGUAGAAAGCUCUUUAGGUUGCACCUUGUUUUGUAGUCCCAUUAUGUCACCUGGAAUAUCUAGCGAACUCGAACGUGGGGUGAUGGGUGUAGAGUUCGUAUGGGUAAUUUUAGAAGUAGACAAAGUAAUGUGUUUUUCAUUAUCUAGACUAUUAUUUAAAUAAGAACUAGAAGGAAAAUUCGAGGGGGGGGAUAGACAAAGUAAUGUGUUUUUCAUUAUCUAGACUAUUAUUUAAAUAAGAACUAGAAGGAAAAUUCGAGGGGGGGGGGGGACUUCAACAUCAUACUUUUUCCUUUUACCUUUUGAAGAUGUGAGCUUACUGCUAAUAUAAUUGUUGGGCCCAUUUUUAGCUUUUUGGCGCGGGGACAAUAACUUCGUCCUAUUCUUUUUUAUAUAAUGUGAAGGAAUUGAACCGAUUCAAUUUGUGUUAUCUUGUUGUAUGGUCUGAAGAAAUUUCACCAUAGAAUUAUAAUUUCAAUCUAUUUUGGUCAAAGAAUAUUUUUGUUGACUAAUUAAGGUCAACUUUACAACAUUUUAUUUUUUUGUAAUUUUGUCUUCUAAUGACUGUUAUCCUUUUCCCAUGUAGGAUAUUCUCAUAGCUUGUCAAAUUUUUCCCACAAUUGUUGUACAGGCACGUGAUAAUGCAUUACAGGCUAUCUUCUCUAUAUAUGUUAUGGAGCAUGUGUAGACGCGUGGGAAUAGUUGUUCUAUUAUUUUGACGCAUUGGAAGCCAUAUUUGGAUCUAUCUGUAAGUUUUUUCCGCUAUGAUCAUUCCGAGUUUCCUGAUUUUCAUAUUUUGUAUAAUUUUGCUUGCUACACUUUCUCCUCAGAUGACCAUAAAAUCUACAAUAGGUACAUAUAAUAUGAAGUCUUUCGUACUGUAUUUUGUACCAAUGACCAUUAACCCAAAUUUUUCCAACCAACAGAAGUGUGAGAUCCACUUCUAAGCAGACUCUGGAAAAUCUUCCAUGCCCCACUUCAGAGUAUUGUUAUCGACUUUGAUUGGUGUUCUAACUGCUGAAGCCAUAGAAAGUAAAAAGCUCUCAUCAUGAUAAACCAAGUUUUGACCAGGAAACCUUAUCUAGACUAUAGUUCUAUCCACCUUCGCAUUUGGUGUACAAAUUCUGGUGUCUGAUGGGAUAUUGCAAGAUAGUGAUCAAAUAAUAUCAAAGGCCCUUCUAAAAUAACCAUUUCUUUAUCAGUAGCUUGAUAAAAUUUAACCAUGUAGAAUCUAUUAUCAAUCUCGAUGAUCUUCAUUCCUCCUUGCAGUUCCCAAACUAUGGGGAAUCUCUCUUUCAUAGUAUUGUAUCCAAUAUUUUUACCGAACAACUUGAAAACAAUUGUAUUUAUCCACAGAGUACACAUUUCCUUAAAAACGACAUCCUCCAAAUGAAUCUUUGGAAGAAGUUUGUUCAUGUGUUCAAAUUCCAUUUGAACCUGCUUCUUAGUGACCAUGUCCUCUUUUUCUCUAACAACGAGAAUUUUUGUGGAUCCAAUCAACUUAUCACAAAAAGAGAUUUUCGAUAGGGUAGAUUUUUUAUUGAUAUCAGGAGAUUUCUUGUUACUAGUUUCCUCUACGGUAGAGAAAGCAAAUUUUGGUUCCACCACAAAAGAUCAACGCUAAAAAAAAAUUAGAGAGAGGGUAGAGCUUUUAAUUGUUGGAAAUUUAACUGAUAUACCAAAAUGAAUGAGAUAUACAAUUAUACGGCAUAAAUUAGAAUAUUAAAAAUGUACCUUAUUUGAUCGAAGGAUAUUUAUUUAGAGUGUGAUAAUCUUCUACCUAUUCAUAAUUUUUGUUUCUAUGAGUGUAUGAUAAUCUAAUGGGAUGGUUAAUAUAUAUAAGUGUGUCAGUUGAUGGAGACCUAUCAAUAAACUAACUAUAAGGAAGCAACUCUAUUAGACGAUAGUACCGAUCUAGAAGGGGGUUGAAUAGAUCAGUAUUUAAAUUUAGCGCUUUUUAAAAAUGUUUUCAAAAGUUGCGAAAGCUUCCUAGACGACAAUCAUCUAAACGAUCCGUUAAUGGAAAGAUCGGAUAUGCGUGAAACCAAAUGGAAUAACUAAGAUAGAGAUAAUCAAUUACUAUCUUAACCAAUUGAUCAAUUACCUCAAUCCUUGAUAUAGUUACCACUAAGGAUGAGUUAACACAAUAAGAGAACAAGUAAAAUAUUGAUAGACUUGUGUGAGGUUAAUUUUAGCAAACACUUGGUGUGCACUUCACACCAAGUCUCAAUUUCACUCAAAUUGAAUGUGCAAAAUUUUACUUAGUUGCAAUCAAAGUGAUUGCACCAAUUUAUCGAACAACUUCUAUGCACAACAAUUAAGCGAGAUUAAUUUUACUGUUAAAUUCACACAAGACUCAAUUAAUGAAGAAUUUAAAGGGUUAAGAGAAAGAGAGAACAACGCCAGAUUUGUUUAGGCAGUUCCCCUUUCGUCCUUGCUUAGGGUACGUCUGCCCCCAAUUCUAAAACUAGAAUUGAGAUAUUUAUUAUCAAAUUGCAAAGUUAAUACAAGAGAAGAAAUGAUCACUACCAAUCAACCCCAAUUGUUGUUGCGGAUCCUAUUCACUUCUCUCCCCUUGAUUCGAGUUGAACCAAGUCCUUCAAGCGUUCCGAACAAACCUCUGGUUGCAGCUACCUUAUUGCAAGAACUUUACGUUCUCCAAAACUCUAGCUCGGCUGAUUUCGACCGGAUCUGCGUGAAACCUCCGGUUGUAGCUGCCUUAUUGCAAGAACUCAACGUUCUCCAAAAUUCUAGCUCGGCUGACUUCAAUCGCAAGACGCUUGAACCCUAACCUUCCUUCACAAUCCUCCGGUUAUCGUUACUUGUUUGAACGAACCCACCAUUCUUCAAACCUUUCACUCGGAUGAACCUAUGAAGCAAAGAUUAGUGCAAAAACCCCCAAUUCUUGGAGGACAAAACCCCAAUGGUUUUAUUCAAGAAAAACCCACUCAAAGCCUCUACCCAAACUAAGAUUACACAAUCCUAUUUGGACGUUAUCACCACAGCAAUGCAUAAUGAUCAACAAAUAUUGUUAUGCGUAGUUAUUGAGAAAUACAAUGAAGAAUGAAGAUGAAGAGCACUUUAGUGUAUAUCUUUCACUUUCCUUUUUGGUUGUUAAAGAAGAGACUCUAGAAUAUUUAUAUGAUGUAUGGACAAAGUAACAAACAUACAAAAAUGCACAAUAGAAAAUUGAGUUCCAACAGCGACCACUCGACCUAUUCGCACAGGUCACUCGACCUGUUCAUACCCGAGGCAAAAACUACUCAAAUGAAGCAGGAGAUGAGUCAACUUAAACAGGGGAUGAGUCGACUCAAACAAGGUUUUUCUAGAGUUGAGUCGACCUAUGACUCGACCUGUUCACACCCGUGGCAAUCAUGGUUUAAAUGAAACGGGCAAUAAGUCGACGCAAUCAUGUGGAUGAGUCGACUCAUUUGAUUUUCCCAGGAUUUAGUCGACCUAUGACUCGGAAUGUUCAGGCCCGAGAGUUUCACAGACUGGGAUAUGUAUGAAUGAGUCGACCGCUCCAGGAUGUGAGUCGACUCAAAGUUCUUAGACUGUCAAAAAAUGAUUUUUGAGAUGUAUUUUGAUCAUUUGAAACCAUUCUUUUAUGAACCUAAGGUACUAACGAUGAUCAAGUGCAUUAUUCAAGUUAAUGAGACGCUCCUAUAUGCAUGGACACAUUUCACUUAUACUUUGAGCAUGUUGGAGGAUGAAUUCAUUUUAUGAUAUGAUGACAUCGUCCAAAGCACACGUUAUGAGCAACUAGAAAGGUUUGACAUCAUUAAAAUAAGGACUAGGAAUCUUUAUCCUCACACACUCCCCCUUUUUUAUGAUGGUAAACGGUGGCAUAAUCACGUACUUUUAUGGACAUCAUCCCCCUGAUUUUAUGCAUGCCUUCAAACAUUCGGCUAUUACAAAUCUGCUAUGCCUUCAAAUAUUCGGCUAUUUUAAAUCUACUAUUGUGUUUCCAUUGCUUCUCCCCAUUUGACAACAUAAAAAAGAAACAAUGAUAUGGUCAACGAGAAACAAAGAUAUUCAUAAGCACUUAGUCAACUACUUUGCAAAAGAUAGACAUUAACAACCAUGCACAUAACAUGAAGUCAAUGUAAUAAUUAUAGGCAUAAAUAUUGCACUGAGCAAAAGAAAAUAAGUAAAUAACAUUGCCAUAAUUGUUUAACAUAUACUUUAAGACAAAUAAGUAAGACAAUAACAUGCAAACAUAGAGAAACAGAAAUGCAUUGAAUGAAUCAAUCAUCUAAGAUCGUCUCCCCUGUGACGGGUCAUUUUUGCCUCUAUAACCAGAAGGUUGACGUGAAGAUCCGUCUUCUUCAUAGAGGCCUGUGAAUUUAAUAACGUUCUGGUUAAGCGUAUUGGAGGAUCCUGAGAGAGAGCGAUGGGGUGGCAUCAACCCAUUGCAUGAUUGUGGAGGCAAAUGAAUUAAAGUUGUCAUUGUGGGUUUGGAUCUGAUUCCUUAAGUUCGAGUAUUGUUCCUCUUGGAGAGAAGCAAAAGAUGCAAAGUUGUCACUUUGAAUCUGAAGCUGAUCCUACAAGGCCGUAAAUCUCUCCUCUUGAAGUGUAGAAAAUUUUUGCUAAUGUAUUUGCAUGUUUCCCAACAUUUCCAUCACUUCAGAAUUUUCAAAUUAAGAAGGAGGUGUAGGAAUAUAGGAUGAUUAGUUGCUGGUCCAUCCGAUGUGUUGCCAUUCUCCCUAACCUUAGUUAUCAGAUGGAUUUUAUUCAGGAGUAGCACCAAUCCAAUCACCAUGGUCAGUAACUUAUUGAUCAUGCUUCAUAGGUUGAGAGUCGUCGUCAUUAUUAUCUUCCUCGUCUUCAUCAUCUUCAUCAUCAUCAUCAUCAUCAUCAUCAUCAUCAUCAUAUUCUUCCAAAUGCUGAGUAUUAGAACUUGGAACUGGUUUACGGGUCUUGUAUAUUCGCGUUGUAGGAUCCCAAGUGUAGCCCAUCAAACUUAAUGUUUUCUGACCAAACUCUUGAUUUGUAGUCACGGAGUUAUACUGAAUUCCUUGAACUAAAACUUUAGAUCUAUUUAGGAUACUUUGAAUAAAUGAAGGAUAGCAGAGAGUAGUGCCUCGACCUGACUCCUUUAAAGAAAAGACCAUGCUUGCAACGUAGUGCAUCCAAUUUACUUUUGCUUGUAUUUCAACACAUAAACCAGGUGCACUUCGGCCUUGUCCACUCUGGAGUAACCUCCUUGUUUAGGACGGAGAAUAUGCGUCAUAACCCAUUGUAAAAUCCUGUCAACAGGCUUCAAAAUACCAGUAAUCACAUUGGUAGGGAACAAAUUGCUCUCAACAACAUUUGCAGAAAACAAUCUCUUCAGCAUUGAGUUUAAGGCAUUUCCUAAACUCAUAGUCUGGAAAAAACACGGUGUCGGUAAUCUUGAGAUCAUUAGGAGACGAUAAUGGAGAAAUCUCAAACAGAGACUUCCAAACAUCAUCAUUCACUUCAAUAACCCUAUUACCAAUAUUGCAUGAAAACUUAUAACCCUCGAAUUUUUCAUCAACGCUAGUAUAAAAUAGUUUGACUAAAUCUUCAUUAUACUUAGUGGUACAGUCUAAGAACAAAUCAAUUCCUUGAAAAUUUAUCCGCUCAACAACUUCUGGAAUGCGCAUGUGUCCAGCCACUAAUGGUGAGUAAACGUACUACUUUACAACUAUUCUCUUUUUAAACUUCUUUUUAAAUGUUUCAGCAAGAUCAUCACAGAGUAAGGAUAAAGCAGUUACCUGGAUAUUUGAUCGAGGUGGUGCAGUCCCAGUGUGAGAGGAGGAUCCUCUUGCAGUUCUUUUUCCAGAUGCUCUUAAAGCCAUUUGAAUGUUGUUUCUAAGGAGAUUUUAGGGUUUGUGUGAGGAAGAGAGUGAGAGAGGGAGAAGACCAAAUGAAUUGAUUAUGUAGUUAUAAAAAAGGCCUUGAAAAGUGAGUCAACCUAUUUAAGACUCGGAUGAGUUGUCUCGAGGCAACGAAGAAUCGACGCAUGGGCCGACCUAUUGGGACCCAAAAUUAAUGCAACCUCUGCAAUGAGCAGCGAAGAGUCGACUCAUUCGUGUAAUGAGUCGACACAUUCAUGUUUGAAACCCCAAUUGAAUAGACUCUGGGUAGCAACGAGUCGACACAUGGGUCAACCUGUUGGUAAUACAAGGAUGGAAUUCACAACAAUGAGUCGACAAAUGGGUCGACCUGUUGGGACCCGUGUAGCGGGGUAUUCGUUACCAUUAGAGAUAUUGACUAAAUCCAAGGUAAACCAUACAAGUCGAGUCGCCACCGCGCUUCUAUUUAUCCAAAGGAAUGGUUAGAAAGCGAAUAAAAACCUAACAGUUUUAUCGAAUCAAAAACUAGUAAAAAUGUCAGAGAUCUGGGUAAGGGGGUUGGUUAUGCAAUGGGAAGGUUUUAAGCACCCAAAACAUCCUAGGUACUCCUAGGGAGCCCUUUUCACAUUUGUUGUAAGAGGUUGGUACUUUGUGAAAAAAUUGUUUGCUGCAAACAUUGAUUGAAGAGAUGAGAAGACGAAUAUAUCAAGUUUAUUUACAUUUUGGUUUGAGAUGGAUAAACCCAUUGCCUACGUACCAUCUUAAAAAAGAUUAAGGAUCAAAACCUCGUGAUCGGGUAAAAUUUCAAAAGAAGUUGGUGGAAUUGAUGUGGUCAAAGAGCCUUAAGGGUCUGUUUGUUAUCCAAGGGAGAAGACUCAACCUAAAACCACAAAUCCACCAUGUGAGGAUAGCUUCAACAUGCUGAGUGAGGGUUAACGCCUAUGAAUAAGCAUGCGAGACUCAUUGUCCAUCACUAGGAUAUAGGUGAGCAUUAUAUCUAACCUCAAAGGAUAACUCAAACCUAACAGCCCGUAAGGUUAUGAAAAAAUUUGAUUAAAAGUGGCCCAUUUUGAAACCGCAAAGGGACAUUGAAUGGUUAUAUUUAACAAUAGAAGUAUUUACAAAGUAUCGUCAAAGUGGAUUAAGAUUCAAUUCAAAAUAAAGUGUUAUGAAAGAAGAGUUUGAAAAUGCAAAAGCCUAAGGCUUAGGUUUCUAACUGUUGAAAACCAAUGUUAAAUGUUUGCCACAAAUUUUGGCUUGGGUUGAGAGUGGAGAGAAGAAGCAGAAUGGAAAAGUCCUAACAUACAAGAGGAAGGGACAAAGAAGGGCAAAACCACAAAUGGGAUUCCUCUUUUGAGAUCAUAUUGAUGAUCCAGUAAGCUCCCUCCUUUGGAAUGAAGAAAUCACAAUAAUAGUAAGCUCAAGCAAUCCAACAAUAAAUGAACUCUUGGAAAACUCCUUAAUGUAUCUUGGAUCCCUCUCUUAGAAGCUCAUGGCUUCAAUUGGUUCCUUCCAUUUGAACUCAAGUUGGGAAUCCCUCGCAAACUAGAACACACACAUUAAAAAGUGUCAUAAUGCAAUCAAAGAAUGACAAGAGGGAGUUUAAGAAUUUAAUCCUUCUCCAAGCUCAUCUUCAGUUGCAUUCUAGCAAGCUUCUCUACAUUUAGCACUCUAAAGGCAUGAGGCCUAGUUGCUCCUAGUUGCUCUUCAAACUCCAUUAGCUUGGGAAAGGUCCUAAAAUCUAAGUCCAUUUAUCCAUUUCUUUGCAUUUUGGUCCACAAAAAAAAAAAAAACAAGACACAAACACAAUAGUAUAUACACAAAUAUGUGCUCAAGUGAGCAAAAGGCAAAUUGCAUUAACAUAAACAUGUGCUCAAGUGAGCAAAGGAAGAAGCAAAUGAAUAAUAAGUACAAGAAUAGUAAAUUGCAUAAAUGUAAAGAGCAAAAAGUAAAUGUUAAUGGUUAAUGGUUAAUGUUAGUAGUUAGUGUGCCAUAAGGCAAAUGUAGCGCUAUGUUAAGCAAUCGUAAUUGGACUUAUGUAGAAGUCACAACUAUCUGAGGCCGGUCAAUAAUAAUGUGGGCAACAAACACAAGUUAGAAGUCUUGAUUAGUGAACCAAGUUCCAACAACUUGCCAUGCCAAAAAGAAAAUGGGAAAUGAUCUUGUAUUGGUUUAAGUCCUUUGCAUGAUUUAGGAAGCAACCUAUCCAUAAUGCAAAGCCAUUCAUUUGAUCAAUUGAUCAAGAUGAAUUAGAUUUGAAUCAAGGAAGAUUAAGCCUCCCUAAUCAAUGCUAACUUAUCAACCUUUAACUCAUUGAUCAAAAAGAAAGAAGAAGAAGAAGAAGGAGAUGAAUAAUGGAUAAUGAAAAUGGAAAGAAUAAAGUGCAUUAAAUAAAAUGGAAUGUACCAAUCAACAAGUAUUGACCAAUGACAUUGAGGAUCAUGGUCAAACAAUCAAAAACAGAAGUGAGAUGAAGAUUGGAAGUCAAGAAAUGAACAAAAUAUUUUUGGCAUUUUUAAUAUUUGAAAAUAAACUUGAAUUAAAAUAUUAAAGAAAGGUCAAACUUCAAAAUCACUUCAAAUCAACUUUGAAAAGUCCAAGUGAAUUAUCCCAAGUUCAACAAGGUCAAACAAAGUUUGACAAAAAAUUUCAGCAUUUUUAAAAGUCAGAAACUAUUUUUAAUCAAUUAAAAAUGAAUAAAAAUAACCUAAUUGAACUAAAAUCUCAAAUAAAUCUCAAAUCAAUUAAAAAAUUGAUGAGAAUAUUUUUCAUAGAUCCAUCAUCAUUCAAAGAGGUUGAGGAAAUAUUUUUGCAUUUUUUGAAUAUCAAAAACUAUUUAAAAUGAAUUAAAAAUAACCAAAAAAGAGAAAAUUCACAAAAAAUAUCAAAUGAUGAAAUAAAAAAUAUUAAAAAUCAUUUUUAGAAACUAGAAUUAAAAAGAGAAAUAAUGCAAUUGGUCCCAUAGUUUUUGGAUUAAAAAUGAGAGAGUUAUGAAUUUUUGAAAUUAAAUGAAAUAAAAGAAAUAAAAUGGAAAUUAUAAAAAUCAGGAAAAACCACGAGCGUUAGAUCUAAGCUCGUUAAUUGAGCCGGAACAUCCAGAGGUGGAGAGAUGCGCGCGCACGAUGGUCCCAAGUCAACUGAGUAACAUGUGGAAUUAAAAAAAGUCAUAAGAUCCAAGAGCCAUGAUUCAAUCUGGAAAUCAUCAUCAGCGGCUGGGAUUCAAACUGGCAAACGGACGGUGGUGUACACCACCGUCUUCUCCGGCGAACAUGGAGAUUCCGGCCAGAGUUGCAGGUCCUAAAAACUUGAUGAAAACGAGCGAUCCUCAUAUCAUUGGAAAGCUGGGGUGAUGUACAUCACCCCUGUACCAUAUAUUUUCACUCUAGAUCUCCAUGGUAAGAGAAAUCAGAAGUUGAAAAAUAUGGUGUUCAAGUGAAACUUCAUGGAUUUGUAAAAUUAAAAGCACCAACAAGUUGCCUCUAUUGAGAGGACUUCAGCCAAGAAAAAGGACACAAGAAACAAGCUAUAAAUGAAGAGUUUCGAAGCAAAUAAGUUUGAACAUCAACCUUCUAAAUAUAGAUCUGUGGAGCACGAUCCUUCAACACACUUGCUUGCAGCUUGUUUUGGAGAUGGAAAUGAGGCAAGGCUAAGGAAUUAGAGUCCAAUAAUCAACCAAGGAAGUUGAGAAUUGGAUCUGAAAAUUUCAAGUGAAAAAGAAAAAUUCCUUUAGAGUAUGGUUUGGAAUGAUUUUUGCAGAGUUUCAGGUUGAUUCAGGGAUGAGAAAUGAAGGAAGCAUGGCAUGUAUUUAUAGCUGAAGCUGAUGUAAAGUCAUGAAAAAUUUGUGUGCAUGAGAAUUGGGUCCUCCAUGCAUGGGCCUGUACAGGCGCAUGUGAGGCCCAAAACCUGGUGCAAAUGGAUGAUGAGCUUGUGUGGAGGAGGUUUGGACGUGUGAUUUGCAAGGCAAUGGCUUGUGCAUGAGGUUUCAUCAUGAAUUGCAUAAUUGUGCCUAAAACUUCAUCUCUUCCAAAAUGUCAAUCAGAAAAUCCAAACAUAAGCAUGUGGGUAAUGGUUGGAAAGGUAUUGACAUGAGGAACAAAUGUUAUGUUGGACAAAAAGUCAUUUGAAGUGUGGAAAUUUAUGAAAACAGGCCAUGAAGUUCAUAGUGCAAAACAUGCCUUUGAGAAUUUAGUCAAAAUGAACCAACUUCAAGCUCUUCUGUUUUAAUGAUGAAAACCUCAAAUGAAAAAACCUCCAACAUAAACGUUAUAGAUCGUUUCAAGAAAAUCAAGAUGGACUUAAAUUUUGCAUCAUUUGGAUUUUUGAUGAAGAAGUUAUGGGCACUUGGAGUUGGACUUUUUUGCCUUUCAAUGCAUUUGGUCCAAAGUGACCUAUAAUGUUUUGCAUUAUCACAUGUAUUUCUGUUGGGAUUUUGAAAUUUUGUUCAACAUAACAUUUUAAGUAGACACAAUAAUAUUUCCAAUGCAUUUGAUCCCACCUUAAAAUCAUAAAAAAUGAAUGAGUUAUGUUCUUGGGAAGUUGACCCAAAAUUAGGGUUUUAGUCAAAAUGACCUAUAAUGUCUUGGAAUGGGAGAUGAUCUUACAAGCUUCAAAUCUAAUUUUGAUGAACAUGAAAGUUGUUCAUAUUGUCCUUAAGAACAUGUUUUCUCUUGGGAUCAUCUCCAUUUGACCAACACAUAAAAAGUUAGGUCUCAGUGCAUUUCAAAAUAGUCAGAUGAAUUGACUGAUCAACUUUCCAAGUCCACAACUCAUAUAUUGAUGAAUUGAUGAUUGAGGACACUCAAAUAAGUUCAAAUAUGCAUGAAAUGAUGAGUUAAAGAACUUACCUUGAUUGUAUUUGACCAUGGGCUGAGGUUGCUUCAUGAUCAAGGCACAUUUGAUGAACAGAUGAAUUAGGGUUCCUUGGGACACAAGCCUCAAACCCUUUGACUUGCUUUGAUCAAAAUGAUGAAUUUAGAUACUAGGGAGGAAUGUUUGAUGGAUGAGAGCUUUGGGAACUAUUGCCAUGCUUGCCUUCAUCUUCUCUUGGCCAUAUCUUUGCACCCAUGAUCUCCUAGAAGCUUUGGACCUUGUGAUUGCUCAAGCUACAAACAAGAAAUGUUAGUGACAUAUUUUUGUGGCUUUUGCGUUAGUAAAACAAAGUGGCGAAAGAAAUAUAGACAGAUCAAGAUGCUUGGGUGAUCUCAAACCACUCACAAGAGGUCCCACCCAAAGGCAAAGGGAACCAAGAUGCUUAUGAUCCUUGAGGCUUUGCAAAUGCAAUGUUAUGAUGCCAUGAGGGAUCUUAAGGCCAAAAUUGGGGUCUUACAGAUGUCCCUAUUUAAGGUCAUUCUAGCCAGAGAAGUGAAGGUUAAAAUCUUCGUCUCGACGAGGUAGAAUGAGCUUAAAUAAUAACAAAGAGACGAAUUUUGGUCCCUAAGAGACCUCAUGAUGCAAAUGUAUGUAUGCAGAUGGUAACACUUUGUGGAUAUGUGUCCACAAAGAAAGAAAAGGAACAGGAACAACUGAAAAUCCACUGGAGUAACACAUUCGCAAAUGGGACAGAGACUCUAGGGACGUUACUGGGGAUUAAAGGGAUAAAAAUGCGUGAGCAGGUCACGACUUGAAACUUGUUGGGAGACACGAAGAGAGUCCAUGAAAUAAAUCCAUGGAAAGACUCGAGUUGACUCAAAGAUGCAUGUAUUGGGGAAUAUGCCAAUACAACAAAAACUUAUCCGUAACGGAUACUUCGGAUAAAAAUCCAGUCUCAGGCUGAGAGAAUCCACUAAGGGCCUCGCUGGGGAAACACUCAAACAAAACUCCUCUGGGGAAGCAACGGGAUGAGGUAUUACCGGUUACUGGGUAAUAAGCUCAAAGAGACAUGUGAUCCAAACACCGGUAUAAGGGUGAAAGAACAACAUGCUCAGGGAGAAUGAAUAUCUAAGACCGGUAUAAAGGUGAGAGAUAUCAAACAUCCGAAAUCAUCUGAGGAAGACCUAUAAAGGUAAACUUCAACUCAGGAAAACCUGACUCCGCAAGGGGACAAAAAGUCAUAAUAGGGAGCAGGGAGGAAGGAACACCAGGGAUACCUGUUACUGGACAUAUAAUAGGUGACCGACCAAAGCGUGAAUUGGGGAAUAUUCCCAAGACACUCAUCAUCCAAAAGAGGGCUAAAAGCAAACUCGAUUAUAGGAUGGACAUUCGAUUCCAAUAAAAGGGAUACGAAUCUUACUCGACUGGGGAAGAACAAAAGGCUUCGACCAAAGAGUGCAUGAGAUAUAUUAUCAAAGCAAACUCGAUUAUAGGAUGGACAUUCGAUUCCAAUAAAAGGGAUACGAAUCUUACUCGACUGGGGAAGAACAAAAGGCUUCGACCAAAGAGUGCAUGAGAUAUAUUAUCUAUUACCGUCAGAACUUAGAUAAUAUACUCGCAUGGAAGAUUAUCCACAACCGGUUACUGGGUUAAUAAAGGAUAAAUCGACCGAAGAGAGAGGACAUCGAGAUACCGAAUACUAGGUAUACAGUGAUAACCAAUCCAAGGGGAGCAAGAAUCAUUACCAACAAAUAGGUAAAUGAGAGAUAACUCAUUGGGAAUACAUUGACAAAGGCAACGAUCCGGGAGACAUAUCACCAGUUACUGGGAGAUAUGCUCAAAAGAAAGGGAUGCAGGAAUAUCAAUACCGAAUAUUGGAUAAAGAUAACCGUCAAGGAGGGGAUUACAUCUACCAGAUACUGGAUAGAAAACCACGGAAGAGUAACUGUCAUCGAUUCAGAUGAACAAAACGGUUAACUCUGCAAGGGGAUGAAAUAGGGUUUACAACUACCGGUAUGAGGGUAGAAAACCACAGACUCCGCAGGGGAAGAGAUGGAUAAUUACUGGUUAAUGAACAACUAUUCAUCUAGACCACGGGGAAGUGCAGGAAGCAGACAUAAGAGGCCAAUCUAGGAUCAAACUAGAUAGGCACGAUGGAAUAAGACUUGUCCCUAUGAGGAUAUAACUCAAUGGGGAAUUCCAUCCCAAUAUAUGUGUUGGGAGGAAACAGAAACAACCAUCUUCCACGAGGACAUAACUCUGUGGGGACUAUGGAGGAAAGGAUAAACACUUUCUGCUUAUGGGGCUGACCCUAUAUGGAGACAUCAAACACAAACAUCUGCUUGGGGAAGCAUAUUAACCACUAGCAAGAGAUAACAAACAAAGAUAUAUGGCAAAUAAUGCGACAUGAAUAUUAGAAUGUUUGAAAAUUAUAUGCACACAUGCGUGGUUUAUGUAUGAUAAAUGCUGACAAACAGACAUUUCUAACACAAACAGGUCCAACGAAUGAGGAAUAAAACAUCCGGUACUACAUCUCAAGAGAGAAAGCCAGGCCCAGUGGAAAAUAUCCAAUCUGAUGAGGGGCAAGAGAUACCAGGAAACAAAGAUCUUUGCAUGGGAAUGAGCAUUAGUCAUUCCAACUGGGGGCCAAAUCGUUGCACAGAUGAAUUCUGACAUAGAAGCAACUCUACCGGGGAAGUUAUCAAAGAGGAGGAUGGACCUCUGGGGGGAAACAACCAUAAACCAGAAGCUUCCAAAGAUCACCAAAUACUGCCAAUGAGAUCGCAUCUGCUGAGGAGGAGGGAUCACUACUCUGCUGAAGGAAGGAGGGAUGAAUAAUCUUACCAAAACACUCUGCUUGGGAGAAAAAACCACAAAAGGCUCCGGAGAAAGAGGACACAAGCAUGCCAGGAACAUGAACAAACGUCUUACCCUGUCGAGAAUCUUACCAUCCUUGGGAGAGCACUGAAGACAUCCCCAGUAUCCCUUUAUCAUUGUGAAUGUUCACUUUGUUUAAAAACAAAUUAUGAAAGGUUUGAUUAUUCAACACAAUGAUAUUUUUCAAUUAAAACAUGCAAAACAUUUGUUGAAUAAAAACAAAUAAGAGUGCAAACAAUUGGAUAAAGGCUCAAAUUUAUUUCAUGGAAUGGUAGUCUGCAAAUGGCAAGACUCCAUAGAUCUUUACAAAUUUGAAAUUGGUGAUAUAUAUUGGAAAAGGGCUACAUUGAACAUAAUGACCAUUUCUCCACCAAUUCUGAAUCCGAUGUAUUUGAAGCUUUGGUUGAUGAUGAAUGAGCGAGAAUCUCUGAUGAAUGAUAGUUGUAGAACAAAGUCUUGUUAGGAUGCAGUUACUUGCCAAAUCCCUAUUUUUUUUGCCUAGAUUGCCCCAGGGUGGGGUACCCAAUCUAGCGGGAUACAUAUUCACUUUUUUUUAUGUCUCUCAUUUUUGCCUGGAUCGCCCUUUCGAGUUUUCAAUCCACUGAGACGUUCAUUUUUGCCUAAGUCGCCCUUUCGGGUUUUCAACUUAGCGAGUUAUUCUGUUUUUAUUUUAGGCGAAGUAUUUCAUGACUGCAUCUGAAUUCACAGGACGAGUGAAAUCCUCCCCAUCCAUAGUUGUAAGUAUCAAUGCACCGCCUGAAAAGGCUCUUUUAAUAACAUAUGGACCUUCAUAGUUUGGAGUCCACUUGCCCCUGGAAUCGGGCGCGAAAGAUAAGACUUUCUUGAGCACAAGGUCACCUUCUCGGAACACACGAGGCUUGACCUUCUUAUCAAAGGCUUUCACGAAAGAUAAGACUUUCUUGAGCACAAGGUCACCUUCUCGGAACACACGAGGCUUGACCUUCUUAUCAAAGGCUUUCUUCAUCCUUUGUUGAUAUAACUGACCAUGGCACAUGGCAGUCAAUCUCUUAUCUUCAAUCAAGUUCAGCUGGUCAUAACGACUUUGUACCCAUUCAGCAUCAGUCAGCUUAGCUUCCAUCAAGAAUCUCAUUGAUGGGAUCUCCACCUCUACUGGGAGCACAACCUCCAUGCCAUAAACGAGAGAAAAAGGGGUUGCCCCUGUUGAAGUACGAACGGAUGUACAAUAUCCAUGUAAAGCAAAUGGCAGCAUCUCAUGCCAAUCUUUACACGUGACAACCAUCUUCUGAAUAAUUUUCUUGAUAUUCUUAUUAGCGGCUUCAAUAGCCCCAUUCAUCUUGGGUCUGUAAGGAGAAGAAUUAUGAUCUGCGAUCUUGAACUCGCUACACAGCUCUUUCAUCAUCUUGUUGUUCAAGUUAGAUCCAUUAUCAGUAAUGAUCUUAUCUGGCACACCAUAUCGGCAUAUGAGUGAUUCUUGAUAAACUUCAUCACUACCUGCCUGGUCACGUUUGCAUAUGACGCUGCUUCAACCCAUUUGGUGAAGUAAUCAAUUGCUACGAGAAUGAAUCUGUGACCAUUAGACGCUUUUGGCUCUAUCAUGCCAAUCAUGUCGAUUCCCCACAUGGAGAAGGGCCAUGGUGAUGAAAUCACAUUCAGAAGUGUCGGGGGGGAAUAUGAAUCUUAAUCGCGAAUCUUGACACUUAUGGCAUUUCUUCACAUAUUUGCAACAGUCAGACUCCAUUGUCAGCCAAUAGUAGCCUGCUCUCAACAUCUUUCUAGCCAUGGCAUGUCCAUUGGAAUGUGUACCAAAUAAACCCUCAUGAACCUCAGUCAUUAACAGGUCUGCUUCGUGUCUAUCCACGCAUCUGAGCAGCACCAUGUCAAAAUUUCUCUUAUAAAGCACAUCACCAUUGAGGUAGAAACUGCCUGAUAAUCUCCUCAGAGUCUUCCUAUCUUUCACAGAUGCCCCAGGCGGGUAAAUUUGGUUAUGAAGGAAACACUUGAUGUCAUAAUACCAUGGCUUAUCAUCUUGUACCUCCUCUACUACAAAUACAUGAGCUGGUCUGUCCAAGCGCAUCACAGUGAUAUUGGGAACUUUAUUCCAAAGUCUUACCACAAUCAUCGAAGCAAGUGUAGCAAGAGCACCUGCCAUCUGAUUCUCAUCUCGAGGAAUAUGAUAGAAGUCAACCUCAGUAAAGAACGUUGAAAUCCUCCUCGCAUAAUCCCUAUAUGGAAUGAGGCCAGGCUGAUUCGUUUUCUAUUCACCCUUAAUCUGAUUAACAACGAGGGCCGAAUCACCAUAAACAACAAGAUGCUUGAUCCUAAGAUCAAUGCACUCCUCCAAUCCCAUAAUACAGGCUUCAUACUCAGCCAUAUUAUUCGUGCAUUUGAAAGUUAGCCUUGCUGUAAAAGGAAAAUGUGUGCCCUGAGGAGUAAUAAUCACUGCCCCAAUACCAUUUCCGUAUUGAUUUACAACACCAUCAAAUACCAUACUCCAUCUGGAACCAGGCUCUGGUCCUUUAUCAAGCGUAGGUUCAUCACAAUAUUUCAUUUUCAAAUACAGAAUCUCCUCAUCCGGGAAGUCAUACUGAACUGAUUGAUGGUCCAUAAUUGGCUGAUGUGCUAAGUGGUCAGCCAAAAUACUACCCUUAAUAGCCUUCUGAGCACGAUACUCAAUAUCAUACUCAGAUAACAACAUCUGCCAACGGGCAAUUCUCCCAGUUAGAGCAGGCUUCUCGAAGAUAUACUUGAUUGGAUCCAUUUUGGAUAUCAACCAAGUCGUAUGAUUCAACAUAUACUGGCGUAAGCGCUUAGCAGCCCAAGCCAAAGCACAACAUGUUUUCUCAAACUUGAUUGGAUCCAUUUUGGAUAUCAACCAAGUCGUAUGAUUCAACAUAUACUGGCGUAAGCGCUUAGCAGCCCAAGCCAAAGCACAACAUGUUUUCUCAAGCAUUGAGUAUCGAGACUCACAAUCCGUAAACUUCUUACUCAAAUAGUAGAUGGCAUACUCUUUCUUUCUUGAUUCGUCCUGCUGACCAAGGACAGAACCCAUUGAGUCUUCAAGAACAGUCAGAUACAUAAUAAAUGGUCUUCCUUCCUUAGGCGGAGACAGGAUCGGAGGCUCAGACAAAUACUCUUUAAUACUAUCAAAAGCUUUCUGGCAAUCCUCAGUCCAAUCAUGGGACUGAUCUUUCCGGAGGAGCUUGAAUAUCGGCACACAUGUGGCAGUCAUGUGGGAUAUGAAUCUGGAAAUGUAAUUCAAGCGGUCAAGAAAACCUCGGACUUGCUUCUCAGUUUUGGGCGUAGGCAUCUCUUGUAUCGCUUUGACCUUUGCAGGAUCAACCUUAAUACCUCUUUCACUAACGAUAAAGCCCAAUAGCUUGCCAGAACGGACUCCAAAUGUACACUUGUUGGGAUUCAGACGAAGCAUGUACUUCCGCAAACGCCGAAACAGCUUCAACAAGUGCUCUACAUGUUCAACUUCCGUUCUUGACUUCGCAAUCAUAUCAUCAACAUACACCUCGAUCUCCUUAUGCAUCAUAUCAUGAAAUAAGGUAGUCAUAGCUCGUUGAUACGUGGCUCCAGCGUUCUUCAAACCGAAGGGCAUCACUCGAUAACAGAAUGUUCCCCAAGGUGUGAUGAAUGUUGUCUUCUCCAUAUCCUCGGGUGCCAUUUACCAGCGUUCUUCAAACCGAAGGGCAUCACUCGAUAACAGAAUGUUCCCCAAGGUGUGAUGAAUGUUGUCUUCUCCAUAUCCUCGGGUGCCAUUUUAAUCUGAUUAUAUCCGGAAAAUCCAUCCAUAAGUGAGAAGACCUUGAAUUUAGCUAUAUUAUCUACCAACAUAUCAAUAUGUGGUAGAGGGAAAUCAUCUUUCGGACUAGCUUUAUUCAAGUCUCUAUAGUCCACACACAUCCAGACUUUUCCAUCUUUCUUAGGUACGAGCACAAUAUUGGCCACCCAUUGAGGAUAUGUAGAAGUCACCAGAAACCCCGCGUCAAUUUGCUUCUGAACUUCCUCCUUGAUUUUUACUGCCAUAUCGGGAUGUGUUCUUCUGAGCUUUUGCUUCACAGGCACACACUCAGGCUUCAAAGGCAGGAAAUGUUGCACGAUAUCUGUAUCCAGACCAGGCAUGUCUUCAUAUGACCAGGCAAAGACGUCAACAUAUUCUCGUAGCAAUUCAAUCAACCCCUUCUUAACAGACUCUUCCAGGAGUGCCCCAAUCUUUACUUCUCGCGCACAAUCUUCAGACCCCAAGUUGACUGUUUCCAGAUUCUCAAGAUGCGGCUGAAUGAUCUUCUCUUCAUGCUCAAGUAGACGGGUAAUCUCGUCAGGAAUCUCUUCAACAUCAUCUUAUGCGUAUCGUACUUUUACCUUAAUCUUCUUUACGUUUCAAUACUGUUUUGCAAAUUCUGUUAGUGUGUGGUGAUUGAUUAUAUUUCUGGACAGCAGUGAUAACAAAACCUUGAGUCAUACACCAUUGCUGUUUAUCAUCAAACACUCACACACCAACUGUUUGACAAAACGGUUAACUUGAUUGUGUUCAUUGGAAAUAGUAUUUGAGGAUAAGCGCAUUCAAUCUGUUAAAGUUCUGUGUGUAUUAUUUUUGUCAUUCUCACUAAAAUCCAGCAACUGCACUUGCGUGUCCGGCUUUCUAGUAGUAGUUCAGAAUAGACAGAAGUCGAUUCGGGACUGCUUUUUCCGCUGUUUUUGAAAACUCUGAUUAAACGUUAAAUCCGUUAUUUUUUUAAGAGGUGAUCUAUUCACCCCCCCUCUCGAUCACUAGCCACACCGUCUAACAGAAAUCCUCCUCGCAUAAUCCCUAUAUGGAAUGAGGCCUGGCUGAUUCGUUUCCCAUUCACCCUUAAUCUGAUUAACAACGAGGGCCGAAUCACCAUAAACAUCAAGAUGCUUGAUCCUAAGAUCAAUGCAUUCCUCCAAUCCCAUAAUACAAGCUUCAUACUCAACCAUAUUAUUUGUGCAUUUGAAAGUUAGCCUUGCUGUAAAAGGAAAAUGUGUGCCCUGAGGAGUAAUAAUCACUGCCCCAAUACCAUUUCCAUAUUGAUUUACAGCGCCGUCAAAUACCAUGCUCCAUCUGGAACCAGGCUCUGGCCCUUCAUCGAGCGUAGGCUCAUCACGAUCUUUCAUUUUCAAAUACAGAAUCUCUUCAUCUGGGAAAUCAUACUGAACUGACUGAUAAUCCUCAAUCGGCUGAUGUGCCAAGUGGUCAGCCAAGAUACUACCUUUAAUAGCCUUCUAAGCUUGAUACUCAAUAUCAUACUCAGAUAACAACAUCUGUCAACGGGCAAUUCUCCCUGUUAAAGCAGGCUUCUCGAAGAUAUACUUGAUUGGAUCCAUUCUGGAUAUCAACCAAGUCGUAUGAUUCAACAUAUACUAGCGUAAGCGCUUAGCAGCCCAAGCCAAAGCACAUCAUGUUUUCUCAAGCAUUGAGUAUCGAGACUCACAAUCAGUAAACUUCUUACUCAAAUAGUAAAUGGCAUACUCUUUCUUCCCUGAUUCAUCUUGCUGACCAAGGACACAACCCAUGGAAUCAUCAAGCACCGUCAGAUACAUAAUCAAUGGUCUUCCUUCUACAGGCGGAGACAGGAGUGGAGGCUCAGACAAAUACUCUUUAAUUCUGUCAAAAGCUUUCUGGCAAUCCUCGGUCCAAUCAUGGGACUGAUCUUUCCGGAGGAGCUUGAAUAUCGGCGCACAUGUGGCAGUCAUGUGGGAUAUGAAUCUGGAAAUGUAAUUCAAGCGGCCAAGAAAACCUCGGACUUGCUUCUCAGUUUUGGGCGCAAGCAUCUCUUGUAUUGCUUUGACCUUUGCAGGAUCAACCUCAAUACCUCUUUCACUAACGAUAAAGCCCAAUAGCUUGCCGGAACGGACUCCAAAUGUACACUUGUUGGGAUUCAGACGAAGCUUGUACUUCCUCAAACGCUGAAAAAGUUUCAACAGGUGUUCUACAUGUUCAACUUCCGUUCUUGACUUAGCAAUCAUAUCAUCAACAUAUACCUCGAUCUCCUUAUGCAUCAUAUCAUGAAACAAAGUAGUCAUAGCUCGUUGAUACGUGGCGCCGGCGUUCUUCAAACCGAAAGGCAUCACUCGAUAACAGAAUGUUCCCCAAGGUGUGAUGAAUGUUGUCUUCUCCAUAUCCUCGGGUGCCAUUUUAAUCUGAUUAUAUCCGGAAAAUCCAUCCAUAAAUGAGAAGAUCUUGAAUUUAGUUGUAUUAUCUACCAACAUAUCAAUAUGUGGUAGAGGAAAAUCAUCUUUCGGACUAGCUUUAUUCAAGUCUCUAUAGUCCACACACAUCCGGACUUUUCCAUCUUUCUUAGGCACGGGCACAAUAUUGGCCACCCAUUGAGGAUAUGUAGAAGUCACCAGAAACCCCACAUCAAUUUGCUUCUGAACUUCCUCUUUGAUCUUCACUGUCAUAUCAGGAUGAGUUCUUCUGAGCUUCUGCUUCACAGGCACGCACUCAGGUUUCAAAGGUAGGAAAUGUUGCACAAUAUCAGUAUCUAGACCAGGCAUGUCUUCAUAUGACCAAGCGAAGAUGUCAAUAUAUUCUCGUAGCAACUCAAUCAACCCCUUCUUAACAGACUCUUCCAGGAGUGCCCCAAUCUUUACUUCUCGUACACAAUCUUCAGACCCCAAAUUGACUGUUUCUAGAUUCUCAAGAUGCGGCUGAAUGAUCUUCUCUUCAUGCUCAAGUAGACGGGUAAUCUCGUCAGGAACAUCUUCAACAUCAUCUUCUUCCGCCUCAAAUACAGGGAAUUCAAAGUUGGGAGAUGGUGUUGGAUCAUUAUGUUCAAUGGGUUUGAUCAACCUGUAUAAUGAUUUUGGAUAUAAAGAGCUUUUAGAAUUCAAGCAAGGCAAAUCAUUAUGCAGAUGAAAAGAUUGAUUUUAUUUUAUCUUUAAAGGGUUUUAUGUGAUCACCAAUUUCAUGCAAAAAGCGAAAAGGGAAAAUGAUUGGAAAAACAAACAUUUAACAUGAAUUUAUUGAAUGAAAGUAUCAUUGUAUUUAUGCGCCAACAAUGUCAUCACUUCUCCUUUUGGCAUGGGAGAAGGGUUUUCAAACACAAUGAACAUUACUUUGACUUAUGGAUAAUUGUUGGAAUAUCCACAGCGACCCAAUUAUUGCAGAUCCCUCCAGGGAUAAUGAAAUUGCCAGAAUCCUCUUCAUCUUCUUCCAAAAUGGCAGCAUCCUCUUCAUCUUGACCAGUGUGGAUGAAACCCCCACUCUUGAACAAACCUUGUUUUUUGAAGACCCCAUAAGAAUAGCCUAUGCCAGCCCGGGACUUGUUGUCUUCUAACUCAAUCAUUUGUCCUAAAUCGGCAGUUGCACCAUGCUCAAUGGCCAACUUUGCAUCUUUGUAGGAAGCAAAUGAAGAAGUUCUCUUCUCAACAGGUUCAGCAAUAGAUAAAGCUUGGAACGGAGUUCCAACUUCAUCCUCAGCAUCUAUAUAUGAUAAGGAAGACAAAUGGCUAACCAGGAGAGCCUUUUCUCCCCCUACCACCACCAGCUUCUUAUUCUUUACAAAUUUCAGUUUCUGGUGUAGGAUGGAUGUCACGGCGCCUGCCUCGUGAAUCCAUGGUCUGCCUAAGAGACAACUAUACGAUGGGUGAAUGUCCAUAACCUGGAAGGUAAUUUGGAAAUCACUUGGUCUGAUUUUGACUGGGAGAUCAACCUCACCAAUCACAGUUUUGCGAGACCCAUCGAAAGCCUUCACAACUACCCCACUCUACCUCAUGGGAGGCCCUUGAUAUGACAACUUCGCGAGAGUGGUCUUCGGUAAUACAUUCAACGAUGACCCAGUGUCUACCAACACAUUGGACAUGGCGUCAUCUUUGCAGCUCAUAGAUAUAUGUAAUGCCAAGUUAUGGUCUCUUCCCUCCUCGGGGAGAUCAGCGUCACAAAAACUCAGGUUGUUACAUUUGCAGCUCAUAGAUAUAUGUAAUGCCAAGUUAUGGUCUCUUCCCUCCUCGGGGAGAUCAGCGUCACAAAAACUCAGGUUGUUACAAGCGGUGAUGUUUGCAACAAUGCUAUCAAAUUGUUCUAGCAUGACAUUGUGAUCUACGUACGCCACAUCCAACACCUUUUGCAGAGCUUCUCGGUGUGGUUCUGAAUUCAAUAGUAGUGAUAACACAGAUAUUUUGGAUGGCGUUUGUAGAAGCUGGUCUACAACAUUGUACUCGCUUCUCUUGAUGAGCCUCAGCAUCUGAUCACAAUCUUCUUACGUAUUUCCACUCGGGCCAGCAGAAGCAGGAGUUUUCAAUAUGGAGGAGGGCUUAGCAACAAGUUCCGGAUUUGGAGUGCUCACAGCAUUCCCAAUCGGGCGUUCGACAAAAUCAGCAUCAACACUUCCUCGAGCAUAAACUUGAGGCUUUAACGGAGCUGAAAAUACACGACCGCCGCGGGUCAAACCGCUGACGUCAACAAUGUUUAUGACAGAUGAAGAAGGCAGGGACACUUCUUUCCCAUUUUCCACUGCUACAGCAUUAUAGCGAUAAGGAACCGCCUUCUCGGAGGAGUAUGGAACGGGUCCGGCUGGCUUAAUAGUUAGAGAGGGAGAAACCUUUUGCUUGCUACCAUCAUACUUGAUGACAACAGGCUCAGGUAUCCGGAAUACUGGAGAAAUUACGUUGACUUCGAGAUCAUCUUCGUCAACAUUUCUAUUUUGAAGGAUCUCAAUGACUCCUUCGUCCAACAUCUCUUGAACAUCCUUACGCACCUGGCGACAACCUCUCUGAUUGACAGAACAGACUCUGCAUCUAUCAUGGUCAUGCUCAUAAUGGCUAUAGUCACACAGCAAGCGAUGCAUCUCAACCAGCGAUUGCCGGAUAUGACUGACGUAUUUAACUUUGUACUUGCCAGGACAGCCCUGGACCAUAUUAACAGACUUCCCAUGCUCGGGCAAUGGGUUCUUCUUCACGUUCGGACCUACGUCCUCGAAAAACAGAAUCCCACUUCUCACAAGGUCUUGCACCUUGGUCUUCAGGGGAUAACUGUUCUCUACGUCAUGUCCGGGAGCACUGGAAUGAUAUACGCAAUGAAGCUCAGGCUUGUACCACCACUGGGGGUUAGCAGGUACAGCGGGAGGGUCUCGCGGAGUGAUUAACUUUCUAUCGAUCAGAGAUGGAUAGAGUUCAGCAUAAGUCAUCGGAAUUGGAUCAAAGGUGACCCUCUUCCUCUCAUAGCUGGUGCUGGCAUUGUUGUUGUUAUUUCGAGGCUGGUAGGCCUGCUGUUGUGGACGCUGUUGUUGUUGCUGAUAUUGCUGAGUUUGCGGUUGUUGAUAAUGUUGAGCUUCCCUGAAAACAGGUGCUAUAUGAGCCACCUGAUGCUGAUUAUUAACUGGGCGAGCAAUCUUCCUCUUCACAGAGGGUCUUCUCUUGACAUGGGAAGACACAGCAUGUGCCUCUCCCUCCUUCUUCUUUGCAAAGCUUCCAUAUCUCUUUGCUGAAGAGCCUUCCUCUCGAGUUAAGCAUCCUUCACGGACCCCUUCUUCCAAUCUCAUCCACCAUCUCGGUGAAGUCUGAGGGAGCAUUGGCUAUCAUUCUCUCGUAAUAGAACGAUCUCAAGGUCUUCAAGAAGAUCUUGGUCAUCUCUUUCUCCUCUAGGGGUGGCACUAUCUGAGCUGCCAAUUCGCGCCACCUCUGGGCGUAUUCUUUGAAAGUCUCUUUCUCUUUCUGGGACAUCGCCCUCAACUGGUCCCUAUCAGGAGCCAUAUCCAUAUUAUAUUUAUAUUGCUUGACGAAGGCCUCGCCAAGAUCGUUGAAAGAGCGGAUGUUCGAACUUUCCAGACCCAUGUACCACCGUAGAGCGGCACCGGACAGACUGUCUUGGAAAUAAAUGAAGAACACAGAGUUAGACCAUAGGACAAGAAGCCUGGAGCAAAACCUGCUUAUGCACAUGAUGCAUGCAAUGCUUGUGCAUAUGAUUUUUUUUUAUUUCAGAGGAACUUUAGAGUCCUAUUUGCAAAUUUGGGAAAUAUUACAUUUUUGUGUGGAAACAUUUCAUCAAUAAUAUCUGGAAUAUGUGUUUUUUACACCAAAGGAGUACAACAUCGGUAACCAAAUACAAGAGAAAAAGGAAAAUAAUCAUCCUAUGGAUCCCUAGAAACAAUCAUCUAAAGCUCGGGACACAGGAAGAUAAGAUGCACGAAGCCUCUUCACCUCCUCCUCAUAGGUUGCCUCCAUAUCUGCCUUCUCCUUGGCGAGUCGAUCGUACUUCCUCUUCCAGAACCUAGAAGACUGAGGAAGUUAUUUAUAUUAUAUAAAUGUAACCUUAGCGGAAGAUGCAAAGCGGAACUCCAUGCUAUUAUUGACAGUUUGCAGAGCGAGGUUUCGGUUGCUUUGCUGUUCUAGACAAGAGGUUCCUGAGAAACCUAAGAAAACGCUGGUGGUCCUUGCAGUUGUUGGUUUGUGUCACUUUUGACCCACCUAGGCAUACAUGAGUGAAACUAGCGGAGAGCUCUUAUUCUUGGUGUCAAGUUAAGAUGAUUACUGGUGACAACUUUCCAUGCAAAGGGCUGGGAGACUUGGGAUGAACUUACGGUACUCAUCUGCUACCUUGCUUGGAAAGAAAUGGAUAUGCACUUCCAGUUGAGAGUGAUGAGAGACAGAUGAUUGCUGGGUAUUUCAGAGCACAAUAUGAAGGCCGAUAUUGGAUCGUUGUGCCGAUGCUACGGAUGCCGCAAAGUUGUUUCUGUAUUGUCCUACGACUGAUUAAUGUUAUCUAGUGCAGUUUUAACCAGUAGGCUUUUUCAAAUGAUUGAAAACUACACAUCGUUGCGCUUUAUCUCCUGUAAAAUAUCUGAUAUUUCCUUGAGUGGAUUUCGUUUAAAUAUGGCUGCAGAUACGAGUGAUUUGGAAUUUGCAACCUUGCUAGGUGAACAGCUCGGAUAUAUUUAAAAUUCAAACUGCAUUGUUGCCCUUCGCUGCUAGGUUUUUUUAGAGUCAUGGUGAUUGUAGAUGCGGAGUCAUUUAUACAAAGGAGAUAAGGGGCCAUCUAGCUGUCACAAUGAAAAGUUAGCUAUGUGUUUGCUCUUUAAUGCACAAGAUCUCAAUUAGAUUACCAAAACCUUCGUGUUUGUGGAGAUUGUCACAUGCUGCAAAGUUAAUCUCCCAAAAUAGUUGAACGUGAAAUUGUGUUAAGACACUAUAGAUUCCACAUUUAGGAUGGUGUUGCUCUUGUUGAGAUGCUUCGGUAUUUAUGGUUGCAGUUCCAGAAUUUUGUGCUUUGAAUUGCUUUCCUUCACCAUCCACGUAGUCUCACUACAAUUAAUGGCAGCUUUGUCCAAGGAAGGUCCAUAUCAAAUUGCGAAAAACUUGAUGCUGUAGACUUAAAACUGACACAUAAAAAUUCUUUAGACAGUUCGAUUGGAGAUCCCAGGGUUCAAAGGAAGUUGACCGGUCUUAAUGAUCCCAGAACCUUAUUUUCCUGUUGAAUGAUGGUGCCAAAAGAUGUUCCGAUCAGUGAGUUGUUUGAACUUUCUUUGAGAUAUGUUGGAUAUGUUAAAGGAGUUUCUGAGAAGAACUUUGAAUGAAGACAAAGCUAGUAGCAUGAAUGCAAGUCUGGCAUUCUCACUUGAGCUGGCUAGUCUAGUACAAGGUCAGUCCAAUGGAAAACACAAGAGAAGAUUGAUCCAAGACAAGCUGGCGAAAUUGAUUGAUCUUAAGAUCGCCGCUAAUAGUUUGCGCCGCAUCAGUAUCAGCAGUAGUGGAUGUCAUGCGGUAUCUGCUACUGCUAUGGCUAUGAUGCAGCAGCAGACGAUGAUGGUAUCCACACAUUACAUGUUGUGUGCUCAUCCCAUCAUUAUCAGGCGCCGCUCAUUAACAUUAACCGUCGGCGUUGUAGCACAAAAGCACUCCAAGCCAUCGGUUUAAUUGUGCAAGUUUUGAGCUGCUAAGGCUGCUAAGGUUUGCGAAAGUGCUUGCUGCAUUGAAUGGAAUGACCGGUUAUUCUUGUCUCAACUGUGGAUGUGCUGAGCACACUACGUGAGCUCGAAAAGACCAACCUCAAUCCACGUCGGCUGGUUGCAAUACAAAUACCCAAAUAGUAAUUCUAAAAAACUUUCAGCUAAUAAGUUACAGUGUGAAAGUUUUUCUCACCAACAUAGUUAUUAUGAAGAGAAUGAGAAGGGGCCCAAGUUGGAUAUGGACAAAAUUCAAACCUCCACUGCACGCAGACCUCCCUACUCUGGGAACACCCAGACACAGCGAGAGGAGAUGAGUCAUAUAAGAGAGGCCACGGUUCUUUUGGGGAGAGAGCUGAAAAACCCUAAUUUGAGAGGAUUGGCGGCUACCAUUCAAAAAGAAGAGAGAGAUUGAAGGCACGUUUACCUACAUUGUCGGUCGAGCUCGCCGCAACCGUAGCUUCCUUUUCGAACUUUAUUCUAUGUUUUGAUUCUGCUUUGCAUCUUUCUGAGGUAACCAUGGUUGUUGUUCCAAUUUGAUUUCAUUUAGCAAUAUGUUGCCUGUUUGUGAUAAUAUCUUGCGCGUAACCUUUUGAUGUUCAAAUGGAAAAAUCUCUGUUCGUUAAGAUGAGCUGCUUGACAUCUGUACUGUUUUAACUUGUUGUUUUAUUUAAAGGCUUGGUCGGUUUGUUAUUAUUAUUGUGUUUGAAACUAUAUAACAAGGAUGUUACUGGUUGAGUGUAAAGAGGUGCUUUGGUAAACCUAGGUUCCGAGUUCAAUCCCUGGUUUCAGCAUUUCUCAUUUUAACUACUUUCUAUUUUUACUAGUUUUUAUUAUUUUACCAUUUUUAUUAUUAUUUUAAACAUUUAUUUUAUUUUAUUUUAUUUUUUUUCUCUUUUUAACACUCGUUAUUUUAAUGUUAACAUCGAUUUUUAAUUUAUGGAUUGACAUUCUCUUGUUAUUUAUCCACAAUUAUUUUUAUCGAUACAUUGAUGUAUUUCGCCGCGUUUCGAUUAAUCGCAUAUGCAUUUCAAUUAUUGUCAACAUGCGCAAACCGACUUGUGGCAUUAUUUAGGUUUUGUGUGUCCCUCAAUUUUUAUCCGUGCAAUCCCGAUUUUACCUUUUUCGAUUUAAUUUUUAAGUGUUUUCUAAUAUGUUGUUGUAUUUUUCUUCAUGCUUACUCUUGCCUUUACAUGAGGUUCUUGACUACACUUCACUUGUAACUUUUGUGCUUGCCGAUUAUUAUUCCAAUACUUUGAAUCCCCAUUUGACAAAAUGUAACACCCCCGAUGUUGUAAUAUUUACUGUUGAUUUCUUAUUGCUUGGUUGUUUAGUUAGCUACUACACAGAAUAAAAAUCAACAUUCCAAAGAUCAAAAAUAAGACUCGAUCCAAGUCGGUAUUUUUCCAAUAAACAAUAUCCAUUUCUUUAUCUCUUUCAUUUCUCUCAAACUUUUAAGCUUGAUCCAACGUCAAGCACAUUUCAUAAUAAACUCAAUAUUAAUUCAUAUUUAAGACCUUUUCAAUAAAGAUGGUGGAACUGUGUAUACGCGAUCUGGAUUCGGAUGUAUGUCUCGCUCUGCCAUCAUUCCUAUCCACUUUGUUUUCUCUCAAACUCAUUCAAUUUCUCUAUACGCAUCAACACUUAUCUAGCGUCAAGUCAUUUCACAAUAAAACUCAAGAAUACUUCUUUACACUUUUUCAUAAGGUGAAAUGGAACAUGGUGUAUACGUGCUCCUGAGUUAAGAUUCGGAGUAGUCUCUGCCUUCUUCUCGCCAUCAUUUAAGUCAUUGCCGGUUUUUCAAUUUUCAAUUUCAAACACUAUUUUAUUAAACCUUUUUUUCAAAUAAGUGGAAUGGGGACGUGGUGAUUUCCCGCGACUCCUGAGACUGGAUUCGAUGUAUAUCUCGCUCAUCCAACUCGCCUACUCAAACACAUCAACACAUCAAUUCUUUCUCGCCGCCGUGUGAUUAACCCUUCAAACAUUUCUCAAAUGAGGUACUUUGUUCAAAACAAUGCAGGCAAUGUUUCCACCUGUUUUGGGAGCCAACAAUGUUUUCGCAUUUGACACAAAGUAGCUUUCGCUAAAUCGCCAACAAAUUUCUACCAGGAAUGUAUGCCUUACUUUCUCUAUGCUGAUAGUAGGGCGGAUUGUAUCUUGGUCGAUAAAUAAAAUUAGGUUAGUCUCGUAAAAUCCAAAAUUCUCUUCUCUUUUUUCUUUCUCUUAAUUUUAUCAAGCCUAACAUUUCAUUAACCUAACCACACUAUACUGGUUCCCUUUGGUAUACGACCGGUGGUCAGUAAUCUUCCCCUUGUAAUCGACUCGAACCCUGUUGGUUGCGCGAUCGCCUUCAUUGUUCUUUUCUUUUGUUUUAUCGUAUAUUUCCCCUUGCCAGGAAUAAAAAAGGUCGUGGCGACUCUGUUCAGUCCAUAAUGUGAGCGUGCUGCGAUUGCAUCGUUACGACUGUAUCCGUACAUCACUAGUAGAUUAGAGAUGGUGGUGAGAGCGGGUGCUGUAAAUAUUUGAACGAUCUUGAGGGCAGUUAAUUGGCAUGGUGAUGCAAUUGCCAUGUGUUAGUUUUAGUUGCGGUGUAAUUUGUUUUAAACUGAAGCAGUUUGUUUUUCCUGCAACCAAUACUACAUUAAUAUGGUUUAAUGUGUUUUUAUUGUGAACAUCUUAGACGUGGGAAAUUAGAAUUUGGAAGUCUAAAAGUUUAGUUAGAAUGAAAAACUAAUAUAGUUUCCGUUUUCAAGUUCAUGGAACACUAGAUAAUAUACUUAAUUUUUUAGAGUAUUGUUUACAUUAAACUCUACAAGUUUUUUACAGGUUAUCAUAAGAGGGUAUCUUAUCUAUAUUGGUAUAUCACCACAUUGAAAUGUUUUAAGUAGCUUCGUAGAUGAGGCCCGAUCAAGCAUCAGUUUAAAGAUAUAUGUUAUUAUACUUAUUAUUAUUCUUCCUACGAUAAACUAGAGAGAAUCCAUUCAUUGUUUAACAUUUCAUAAAAUUUUACUCUUAAUAUAUAUAAUAUAUAUAUAUAUAUAUAUUUAUUAUAUUAUAUUAUAUAUUAUAUAUUAUAUUAUAUAAUAAAAAUAUAGUUAUAAUCGACAAUGUAAAAUUAGCUUUACAUUUUCAAUUUAUGACAUUCAAACAUCUUAAUCUCGUUUGCCUUUGUGUUAUCUUUCGUGUGGAUGUGGAAAAAAACACGUGAUACGGGAGCCACUCAAAUGGGUCUACCCAAAUCUCACAACAGAAGGCGGAUAUCGGAUACAAACCUACAAAUUCAAAGCACCCUCGUUACGAAUAUCGAUGCCAACGGUACUUCUUGGCCUCGCACCAACGUGACAGGCCUAUUUAUUAUGAGAUCUCUGCUUACACGAUGAUGAGAAAAUGUGGAUGUACUUCUUCCAGAAUUGUCUUAUCUUUGACGGGCUUCUUGACUUGGUACAUGACUAGAGAGACUCUAUCCGAUGUUGGAAAUUUAUCUGGCGUCGGGGGCCUUCUUGCAGGCCAGUAUAAAAACAACAUGGACAUGGCGCUGAGCCGGACUCAGUUGAGAUCUUUGUUCAGGAAAUUCUGGGGAAGAGCUUCAGGAGUAGCCAGAGUGGCGGUUGAAUUGGCUGCAAGAGUACAACCCCUAUGUGGAAGGGAAGCUAAGUAAUAUGUUUAUCGCUACAAACUGCAGGGUUUGUUUUCCUCACCGGUAAAGGGAGUGCCAUUCGCAGUUUCUCUAACACGUAAUGUCGAUAUAGUAGGAUAGGGACAGAGAGUUGAUCAAAAGCUGGUAAAAUUCAGGAGAAACAUGCAGAGGUCCUCGUCUUCGAAGAAACCAUUGUUGGGGGCACCUCGUAGGAGAGAGGGUGAAACCAAAGUGCUGGUGCAACAUGUAGAAGGAUAAACAGAUCAGGUACGCGCAGGUUGUGCUGUGACAAUUCCAGCACCUCAACCUCUCAACCCGAAUCGAGGCGAACACGAGGCGUUCAAACAACAACCGCCACAACAACAACANAUAUAUAUAUAUAUAUAUAUAUAUAUAUAUAUAUAUAUAAUAAGAAAAUGAAUGGUAUAUCGACAAUGUAAAUUAGCUUUACAUUUUCAAUUAAUAAUGAUCAUUUAACCCGCCACCUAUCUCGUUUGCUCCUUGAUGUUACCACCUUUCUUAACCUCCCUGUCUGUCAUGUCAAUAGAUCGAAAGGAAUAAUUUUAUUUUUAUAAUCUUUGAUUUCUUUAACAUAUCAAUUGGUGUGGAAUUAGAUCUUAAUUCAUAUUGAUCAAUUCGCAAGACCUAACUACUUAGAAUGUGUUCCUCAACACUUUGGUCAAUCUAAAACUCAUAAAUAAAGUGUGAGUUUCUUCUUCCUCCUCCAUUUGACCGUUUCAACUCCUUCUUUUUUUUAAUAAUAUUAAUGUUAUGUUUGGUCGUUCAAGGAAUGAUAGUUGAAGAAUUGAGUUUUUGCAGUAAGAAACACCUUUUAGCAUUUUCUAUUUAUUGAAGUAACAAUUCUCUUUCAAUUUCAUUAUGCAUUAUUAUGCCUUUUAUAUUUACCCUAUUUUAUUAGUUUUUGGCAUAAACUCAAGCAAAUUAAUUUUCCUACGUGUGUAGAAAGUAUUGGUUGAAUGCUGAAGUUAACAAUAUUCAAUGUGUGUAGCAAGUAUGAGUUAUAUGUGCAAGUCACAUUCUUUAUAUUAUAGCUUGCAAAGUGUUAUUAGGUUACAUCACCAUUUGAGAAAUUAAGUGUAGUGUUUGUAGACUUUAGCAUCCUUUUGAGUAGUUGUUUGGUGUUAAUCCUGCAUGCGUCUCAAUACAUGGCAUGUGUGAGCUUUAUGUUUGAAUUAUGGACAAAAUCAUUUUGCAGGAAAGAGAAGAAAAGUUUAGAGGAAUAUGGCCAAUACUUCUAGGUGCCCAAUCCCUUAGAGUCUUAUUUCUGUAUUUUGUAUAUCAUUGUCCUGUAUUCCAUGAAGUUGAUUAGAAAAAAAGUGAAAUAUAUUGGCAUUCUACUUAUCUAUUGUUAGCUAAAACAAUUUCACUGUUAUCAAGAAGUGGAAUGGUUUAUAUAUGAUCCAUGUGAUAUUGGCUUUUGUAAUAUUCUAUUAACAAUAUUUAAUAUUAUUGUGCUAUUUAAAUUUUUGUUAAGUAUAAUGAAAUGCCUAAUGCAUUAAAAAAAAUUAUUAGGACGAAUUAUUUUUACUAGUAUUUUAAUUUUCUCUUGUUUAUUAUGGAUUUGCCUUCAUUGUUUGGCAGGUGAUUAUUUUCUUGAGGAUAUUUAUUUUUAUUUUUCAUUGUUCUUUGUCCCACACAUCAAUAUUUAUCACGUGAUUAAUAUUAUUGUUAGAUUUUUUCAACAAAAAGUCAUGUUUUGAUUGAACCUUUCAAUUUUACAACAAGUAGCAUCCACCGUGGGAAAAUACACUACUACAAAAUAUACCUUUCUUAACACCAUAUUACCAAGGCCGUUUAAGCAACCGUUGUAAUAACUUAUCUUAACGCACCUGAAUUUUUUUAUAUUUUAUUCAAAGACAUUUCUUCACGGUUCAUAAUAACAACUGUGGUUAUAGAUGAAAGGUUACGUGCUUUGAAUCCCAGCACAAACAAUUUUUUUAUCAUUACAAAAAGAGUUUGUCCAUAUCGUCUUAUAAAUAUAUUAAAAUUAAAAUAUCUAUCACCCUGGUUAGUACCAGAAACCAUUGUGGAUAGUACUGACAGUUUAUCAUGGUUUUUCUUGCCAACGACGGUGAUAAGUUUUACAUAUAUAUAUAAGCAAAGUUAUAAAAUUCAGUCCUCUCGCUCAAAUUACAAAAUCCUAAUCUCUCUCUCUCUCUCUCUUCCACAUCCUGCGAAAUAGUCUCUCUUCUUCUUCCAUACAACUUGUCUUUCUUCUUCUUCGUACUAAAAGGUAAUCAAAUUAAACGUUGUUUCUUCUUUAUCUAAGUAUUUAAACGUUGUUUCUUCUUCUUCUAAAAGGUAAACAUGUUAUUCACGACAGAGCUACAUACACAACUAUGUAGGCCUAUGACCCACUAGAAUUAAAAAUUUAAUUAUAAUAUACUACCCAUGUGGUAAUAGUAAUGAUGGUGUAUAUUGCAUUAAAUACUUAGUUCAUUUCAAAAUUUAGUCCAAAAUAGUCUCUAGUAUUUUUGAUAAAAAAAAUUUAAUAGUCUGGAUAUUAUUAUCUUAUCUUUUUAAUUCUAUAUUUUUAGAAUUAAAGAAAAAUUAAUAAUCUAUGAACUAUCAAUUGAUUGGCGAGGAUAAAAUAUGUUAUAUAAUUAUAAGUAGAAAAUUAAGAAACCAUUAAUAAUUUUAAAUCAUUAAAAAAAAUUAAAAAAACAAAAUAAUAUUUAUUUAUAAAUAAUAUAUUAUACUUUUCUCGUAAUAAAUUUAUAAAUUUGCCCACACUAUUUAGAAUUCCUGGCUCCAUCCCUAGUUAUUCACACGUUUUCUUCCAUUUAGGUUUCACAUGAUUUUUUCGUAUUUUUUUAUACUUGGAUCUCUGUUUUUGAAAUUCUCAAUUCGUGUUACUGUUUUUAUUAUAUUGUUGUCUUAAUGGUUUUAACAAGUCGGAUCAAUUGUCCCAACUCUGUGUCCAACAUCUGUCCUAUGAGAAACAAAAUUUCACAUUUGAUACUUUCUCUCUAAGAUAAUGGAACCUCAUCUCAUUGUGUUUUCUUCUUCCGUAUCAUAUUGAUUCUUGGACAAAUUUAUAGCAGAAAUGUUAUCAAUCUUCAUGAUUACUGCUUCAUGAUUUUGACCUACAAUCUCUUUGAUCAAAUUUAUCAUUCAUGUUGCUUGACAUGCACAAAGAAAGGAAACUAUGUAAUCAGUCUCACAUGAUGACAAAGCUACAACUGGUUCUUUUCAUGAGCUCUAAGCAACUGGUGCACCACAUAGCAUAAACAUAUUUUCUAUCAUCAGCAUCACCAUACCAACACGGGUCAGUGUAUCCCACUAGCUUGCAUUCCUUUUCUUUUUAACAAUUUUUUUGAAGAAGUCAUUCUUAACACCUAGAUUUUAUUUUUAUUUUUCUUUAUUUUGACCAAUUUCUCUAGUACCCCAAUCCCAAGUAUAAAUGUUGAUAACUUACAAGAGCAACCCCAAAUUUAUUCUUUUGAAUUCUAUUAAUUGAUUGAUGAUUGUAUAUCAUGAAUCAUGGAUAUGAGAUAUUAAGGCUUUACAUUAGUUUAAAUUUAAUGAGUGUUUUAUACUUAUAGUUAUUGACUUUCUUAAAAUAAUAUAAUAUCUAAGAGGAAUACCAAAAUACUCUUGAUUUAUUUAUUCAUAGUAGAAAAGUGGAGAUAUAAUUAUAGUUAUAAGAUAACAUUGUUUUAUUCAUUGCUCCCUGUGAGAUAUAUCUCUUGAUAGCAUACAUACAUAGUAUAACUCUUGAUUUAUUUAUUCAUAGUAGAAAAGUGGAGAUAUAAUUAUAGUUAUAAGAUAACAUUGUUUUAUUCAUUGCUCCCUGUGAGAUAUAUCUCUUGAUAGCAUACAUACAUAGUAUUUUGUCCACUCAUUAAGAAGCAUUUCAAACUGAAGAUAGACGGUCUCUUGUUUCACGACUUCCUAUCUCCCUUUGUUGAGGUUGAGCAUCUGCAAAGUGAGAUUGUUUCUGAUUCUCUAGUAUCCUAUCAACCUCUUGAGCUGAUCCAGGGAAUGCAAGCUCUUUCACUGGCCGCUGUAUCUGACUAAUCACAUUAUCCUUAUCGCCUUCAAAUUUUCAAUCACCAAAAUAAUAAGCAUAUCUUAAUAUUUUCCCCCUUGAUUUAAAUAGAAAUUGACUUUUAAAAUACACACUUAAAAUGAAUAAAUAGUGACAGAGACUGGGUGAUAAUAUAAUAUACCUGCAAGAAAGUUCCUUUGAUUGUUCUCAGCAUUAAUACCAAACCCAAACAAAUCAAGAUUUGAGGAAGCUUUUACGGAAACUGGAUGGCCUGCUGGAAUUACAAAAACAUCUCCUGAAGACAAUUUAGCUUUGUAAUUUUGCACUUGUUUAUUUAUCUCCUCUUCUCCUUGUUCCUCUUCCUCGUCAUCUUCUUUUGUCUGCUCUUGUUGGUUUUCAUUUCUUUGACCCACAAGUUCAAAAUCUCCUUUUCCUUCGUUAACUGUUACUAUUACUAUGGCCCUUGAAUUGUAGUGUGGCAACAAUAGAGAUCCCUAAUAUUUAAUUUGAAAGAAUAAUUAAAUAAAUACGUUAGAUAUAUGUUCUAUAAAUAAAACAUGUUAUUGAGCAUGUAAAACUUGUUGUGUAUGAGAUGUCAAGUUAGUAACAAAAGUUUGACAUUAUAACUUCAAAGGACAAAAAUCAAAUCAUUUAGAACAAUUGUAAUUUGAUCAAGUGGAAUCUCAUUGUGUAAUUUGGUGAAUUUCCUAUAUUAUAAAAUAAUUUUAUCAUACCUCCUUAAUCUCUACAGAAUUGACAAAUAUAUCCAAGUCUUGAAGCUGUGGAUUUUCCUCUGGGGUGAUUUCAAAGAAUUUUCCAAACUCGUUGGAAUAGAUAGGACCGCGACUUCUCAAGUUGAAUGGUUCAGAUUCAGAGGAAACACUUUUUUUGGAGGUAGACUUUGCAUUUUUAACUCAAUUCCUCAUUUGUCCCUGAUAAUUUUACUAUUACAUUCUCUGCUUGACUUUGCUGCCUCUUUAUCCUUAAGGCUUCUUCUGUGUUGUGUCUCUUUCUCAUGCUCUUCUAAAAGAACCUUUUCUAUCUCUUCAUAAUCAGUCUAUAUUUUUUUACAGUACAUACAUUGACAAAGUGAGUAUUAACAUAUAUAAAACCAAACUAAUACAUAAAAAAAUGAAAAAAAUUGUGUGUUUUAUGCUUACAUUGAAGGAAGCCUCUAGAAUGUUCUUACUGAACCCAGAUAAGUAGGAUUGUUGGUUUUGAUUUCCAGACAAUAAGAAAGACUGUUGAAAAGGACAAAAAAAUGAGGAAAACAUUACAGAAAAAUAUGUACAGUCACAAUUUUUGUUGUGAUGUUAUGGUAGAGGCCCCUAAAUUUGUUUAUACAUUUGAGUGCAUACCAUAUUUGAUAUGAGAAGAUAUGAGAAUAGGUAAACAUUGGUUAUAUUACCUGAAGUUGGCCAGGUCUAUUUACGGGAAUGGCGAGAUCUAAUACUCUAAGCUCCUCGUUGUCAUCUCUGUUAACCAAAUAAGCAAUUGUGCCAGCAGGAAGUUUUACCGUAUCUCCGCGCUCAAGGUUGAAGGAGUUUCUGUCAUCGGGUUUCAACACUGUGAGUAUAGCUUUUCCUGGAAAUUACAAUGACAUUAGAUUUUAUAAAUGAAUUUAAUUUAUCCUUACAAAACAAAUAUGUAAAGUAAUAAGAGAAAUGCUAAUAAUACUCUCUUUUCAACACUCUCUCAAACACACACUCUUUCAUUUGUUGAAAUAUGUGUGGAUCUUACCACUUUAUGUGGGACCUAUUUCCAAAGCGAGGGGCCCACACAUGCUUCAACCAAUAAAAAAGUGAGUGUUUGAGAGAGUGUUGAAAAGAGAGUGUUACUAGCACUCCUCAAAAUAAUAAAUACCGUUCUUUUUGAAUGAACUAUGAGUGAUUAGUUUUAAAUAUUUAACUUGAUAAAUAAUAAAUUACCACUGAGUACAACAAGGAUGUAAUCGGCAUCGGUGUGCUGCGGAAGAAAUAUUGUGUGAGGUUUGGACUUAUAUUCCAAAAGACGGUAGUUUUGUAGAUUCUCGAACGAGAAGACAUGUUUGGACUGUAUAUUCCAAAAGGACGGUAGUUUUUGUAGAUUCUCGAAAAUUUUA
RNAcentral lists this long non-coding RNA (78485 nucleotides) under Lathyrus oleraceus (garden pea). RNAcentral's name for it is "Pisum sativum (pea) long non-coding RNA (PSAT_LNC032503)". Lineage: Eukaryota; Viridiplantae; Streptophyta; Magnoliopsida; Fabales; Fabaceae. The record is from RNAcentral.